Molecule: long non-coding RNA, 59280 nt
Filed under: Physcomitrium patens
Lineage: Eukaryota; Viridiplantae; Streptophyta; Bryopsida; Funariales; Funariaceae
Description: long non-coding RNA (PPAT_LNC000406)
Source: RNAcentral
AAGUACCCAGUCACCUUCCUCGAUUGCUUUUGGUCUCAAUCGAUGUUGCUUAUCGAAUCGCGCCUUGUUUUGUAACCUUGCUCUUUUUAACCUUUCCAAUGCUAUUUGGACAUCUUUGGUUCUUUGCUCCAAUUGUCAAAUCCUAAUAGCCAGAAGUUCUUCUCUUGUCAAUCCAUCUUCCCAUGGUAGCAUACUCCAAGUAAGUACCUUUUCUUCAAUCGGCAUAAUUGGUUUUUGACCUGUCAUAAGUUCUACUGGCAUACAUCCUGUCACCGAACUAUGUGUUGUUUGAUCAGCCCAUAAUGCAAAUGACAAAAGCCGUGGCCACUCUUUAACCUUCCCAUUACAAGCUUUAACCAAUGCUUUCACAGUCGACGGGUGACCGCGUUCGCUUUUCGCAUUCCCUUCCGGAUUAUAAGCAGUAGUCAGUGAUAGUUUAACUCCACAUUUUUCAAAGAACUUACGAGCUUCUUGUGCAUUUAAUUCUCUACGAUCUGCAGUGAUUUCUCCUACGCACCCGAACGGCAAAUGACAUCUUCAAGCAAAAACCUACAAAUCCCCUCUGUAGAUUUUGUCCUCAAUGCUCUUCCUUCUACUUGAUUUGAUAAAUCUUCACGAGCUAAAACCAAAUAUCUCAUCUGCCAUAACCCAACCGGCAUAAUAACCAAAUCAACAACCCAUUUAAAAUGAAUAGCCAGAAGAUACGUAAGAUGAAGACCAUCUCGAUGUCGGAUAUUAGAAUACGAUUGACAGAUUUUACAUGACUCUACAAAUGAGAGCACAUCUCGAUACAUAUUUUUCCACCAAUAUCAUUCCUUGAGUUUAGAAAAAGUAGCCCAGAUUCCUCUAUGCCUUGCCCAUAAACUAUCAUGAAACUCCUUUAAUAAUUUUAGUCUUUCUUCCCUUUUGCCUAUCACUCGUUGUGGCAUCCCAAUUCCUUUCUUCGGUCUCUUCCAUAAGAAUCCAUCUCGAAGUAAAAAUCCAUAUGCUUUUUUUCUUAUUUGUUUGAAUUUUUCUGUAGACCAAUUCCCCUGCUUAGACAAGGUAUUCAAAUAAUGACCAAUAUCCAAUAAUUCUCUUUCAUAAGAUUCUUCAAGAAAUAGCUUGUCUUCUCUGUUGAGAUUUGAUAUUGAAUAGAAUUUCAAUCCGACAUCAUCAAUGUCUUCAACCAUUUCGUCUUCCCUCUCGUAUCUUGCUCGAGAUAGCAUGUUUGCUACUAAAUUGUCCUUUCCAGUGAUAUGUUUAAAUUUUGGAUUUAGUGACUUAAUAUAAGCAAUCAAUCUCAACAUUGCAAUAUCUGGCGUUGAACAGUUAAUAAUCAUUCCAAGCAAUGGCAAGCAAUCUGUUUCAAUUACUACUACUGCCCCAAUCAAAUAGUCCUUUCCAGCUUUCAUAGCCGAAACGACUCCCCAAAGUUCUCUUUUGACUUGCGAAUAUGCACGCUGACGAAUACUUAAAACUUUAGCCCCAAAUCGAACUGCAAAUCUACUCCCAUUCGAAUCAUCUUGACCCACCGCCCAUCCAACGGCAAUUGGACUAGCGUCUACAGUAAGAAUCACUGGUCUAUUGCACUUAUAAUCAACCUUCCUCAAUAUUGGAGGUGACAUCAAUAAUUUCUUCAAUCUUUGCAUUGCCUGAAUAUGCCUUUCUUUCCAUUCAAAUCGGUAACCCUUGCGUAACAGUUUAUAUAAUGGAUCCGCUAUGUGAGCAAAAUGAGGGAUCCAGAUUCGAUAAAAUACACAUGCACCCAAAAACCUGCGAACCUCUGUUAAAGAACCACAAUCCUCUUUCAUCCUUCCAAUUGCAUCAACUUUAGUCGGAUCUGGUUUUCUUCCGUAAGAUCCGCAUAAAUGUCCAACAAUUACAACCUCUCGCACUCCAAAUACGGACUUCAUACCCGAUAAUGUAAGAUGAACUUCUCCAAGCCGAGUUAAAAUCUUUUCACAAUCUUGUAUAUGAUCAACAACAUAUCUGCCACACCCCCUCGUAUCUAAAGUUUCAUCCUUGUCUCCUUCUCUGCACCCUUUUAUAGGAACAUCAUCCAGAAAAGGCAUAGUCUUUUCCGGAAUAAAAUCUCUCAAUACCUUAUUCAUCCCAUUCAUCAUAUGCGCAACCGAGUUGGUCGCACUUGAGGAAGAGUGCACAUUUUAACCAAUCCAAGCGGUGUCCUCAUCGUUGUCAUAUCUCUACUUCCUUCGGCAAGUUGAAAUUGAUCAUAACCUGAAUACAAAUCACCCAUUGAAUAGAUCGCCCUUCCAACAAACGCCUCAGCAAAUUCAUCCGCAAUAGGUCCAAUUUCUGCAUUUCUGACAUUUAUAGCAUUCACCGGCUGCAUAUCUUGAAUAAACCGUAGUGACCCAUUCUUCUUAGGUACCGUAAAUCAUCGACUAGAAUACGGCGCAAAUGAAGGUUCUAAUAUUUUCAUCUUUAUCUUUUCUUUCAAUAGUUCGACCAAUUUAGGUAAAUAUGCCCUAGGUACUGGAAUCAGUCUUAGAUUCCAAGGUACAUGCGGUACAGUGAAGAUAACCAUAGGUGUUAUAAUAUUUGGAUCUACACACCCAAUUUCAUGAGAUUCGAAGGCAAACGAUCUACCUUGUUUAGCCAACAUCUUUUUGAAGCAAGUAAUUUCCUCCGACAAUAAAGAACCAUCAGAACCAAUCUUCAAUUCUUCAAAAGUCUCUUCAGUAAACUGAUGUCCAAUACUCAUUGGAUCUCUUAAACUUGCUUCUUUUGAUGCUUCUCCCAUUUCUUCUUUAGAAUCCUCUGGUAAUGGUCCGGCAACAGGCUUUACCUUCUUAUCUGCCGUUUUAUAUCUCGUCUCUACUGUGACUUCUGGUGCUUGAAAAGAUUCAAGCAUGGUAUAAACCUCUCUCGAAUGAAUCUCAACAAUCUUAUCAUUAUCCCCUAACCCAAUAAAUGUAAUCAAUUCCAAUGAAUCUUCCAGCUCAUUUUCUUCAUAAACAUCCAAAAUCCUCUCAUCAUCUUGCAAUGUACCUAUCUUGCGUAACUGUCCUUCAAUAUCAUAUAAUCUUUUUCUUUCUUUUCUUUUAAAAUCAUCAACUUUCUUAUACAUAAUAUUUCCAUUCUCCAAUAUACCAAUAAAACUCGCAUCAAAGGCACCUUCAUCUCGCGAGAGUACCUCCUCUUUUGUACCUCCAUAAUCUCGCUUUACAGUGGUACCUCCCCAAAAUCCUUAAAUCCUUCAACAAUUUUUGGCAAUGGUUUCUCCCUCAACCUAUCUCGAUUCCGUUCAUGGUUAGGAGGUACUGUUAGAAAUUAUACAGCUUUCCUCCCAUCUUCGCUCCGUACCCUUGCAUAAGCAGAACCAUCGUCAAGUACCUUUGUUUCCAUCCGUGUUGCCGUGAUAUAAGGUUGUCCUAAAAUCAACGGAUAAGACGUUGUAUCUUGAACGAAGAAAUGUUGCUCCGUAGCAACAUCCCAAAUCUGAAUUUUGACAUCUGGACAAGCUCUAUAUAAUUCGCCUCGUGUGUUAUUAGCUGCUCGUAUUGCCCAUCCAUGUUCCAUAUCAAUUGGCCAUUUUUGCUUCUUAUAAAGAUCUUUAGACAUGAGAUUUAUUUCAGAACCAUGGUCCACCAAGGCAACUAUUGGUUCUUCUAUAUCUCCUACCUUCACCAAUACCUCAGUAGUUGCCAUUGCCCAAUGCUUUCGAGUAUAAUGGCUCAAAGUUUCCAUUUCCUUGUCACUAGAAUCUUUGAAACGUACUCGCUGAUUAUACCCAUUCUUUUCAUUUGUUGGUUGCUUGUAACCAAUAUCAACCUCUUCUUCAUCUCUACAUAUUCUUGCAUCAAUAGCAUGACUCAUUCCAGUUUCGCUCAUUAAUUGCCUCUUUCGCUUAAUGCUGUCAAUGAUAACAUCAUGAAACUCCUUCUUUACAAUUCCCAAGACUUCUUUCAAUGUGAAUUCCACCUUAGCGUUUAAUAUACGUUCUUCCAACACCCCUUUCAAAUUUGUUGUCGCUUCAAUGUCAGAAAGUAGCUUAUAAGCAAUUGAUUUGCCCUUAUCUUUUGUCUCCGUUGUUUUUUCUCCCAAUUGAUGCUGAGGUAUCCUUUACAGGCAAUUCUUGUGAAGCUGCCUCCCGAGCCNNNNNNNNNNNNNNNNNNNNNNNNNNNNNNNNNNNNNNNNNNNNNNNNNNNNNNNNNNNNNNNNNNNNNNNNNNNNNNNNNNNNNNNNNNNNNNNNNNNNNNNNNNNNNNNNNNNNNNNNNNNNNNNNNNNNNNNNNNNNNNNNNNNNNNNNNNNNNNNNNNNNNNNNNNNNNNNNNNNNNNNNNNNNNNNNNNNNNNNNNNNNNNNNNNNNNNNNNNNNNNNNNNNNNNNNNNNNNNNNNNNNNNNNNNNNNNNNNNNNNNNNNNNNNNNNNNNNNNNNNNNNNNNNNNNNNNNNNNNNNNNNNNNNNNNNNNNNNNNNNNNNNNNNNNNNNNNNNNNNNNNNNNNNNNNNNNNNNNNNNNNNNNNNNNNNNNNNNNNNNNNNNNNNNNNNNNNNNNNNNNNNNNNNNNNNNNNNNNNNNNNNNNNNNNNNNNNNNNNNNNNNNNNNNNNNNNNNNNNNNNNNNNNNNNNNNNNNNNNNNNNNNNNNNNNNNNNNNNNNNNNNNNNNNNNNNNNNNNNNNNNNNNNNNNNNNNNNNNNNNNNNNNNNNNNNNNNNNNNNNNNNNNNNNNNNNNNNNNNNNNNNNNNNNNNNNNNNNNNNNNNNNNNNNNNNNNNNNNNNNNNNNNNNNNNNNNNNNNNNNNNNNNNNNNNNNNNNNNNNNNNNNNNNNNNNNNNNNNNNNNNNNNNNNNNNNNNNNNNNNNNNNNNNNNNNNNNNNNNNNNNNNNNNNNNNNNNNNNNNNNNNNNNNNNNNNNNNNNNNNNNNNNNNNNNNNNNNNNNNNNNNNNNNNNNNNNNNNNNNNNNNNNNNNNNNNNNNNNNNNNNNNNNNNNNNNNNNNNNNNNNNNNNNNNNNNNNNNNNNNNNNNNNNNNNNNNNNNNNNNNNNNNNNNNNNNNNNNNNNNNNNNNNNNNNNNNNNNNNNNNNNNNNNNNNNNNNNNNNNNNNNNNNNNNNNNNNNNNNNNNNNNNNNNNNNNNNNNNNNNNNNNNNNNNNNNNNNNNNNNNNNNNNNNNNNNNNNNNNNNNNNNNNNNNNNNNNNNNNNNNNNNNNNNNNNNNNNNNNNNNNNNNNNNNNNNNNNNNNNNNNNNNNNNNNNNNNNNNNNNNNNNNNNNNNNNNNNNNNNNNNNNNNNNNNNNNNNNNNNNNNNNNNNNNNNNNNNNNNNNNNNNNNNNNNNNNNNNNNNNNNNNNNNNNNNNNNNNNNNNNNNNNNNNNNNNNNNNNNNNNNNNNNNNNNNNNNNNNNNNNNNNNNNNNNNNNNNNNNNNNNNNNNNNNNNNNNNNNNNNNNNNNNNNNNNNNNNNNNNNNNNNNNNNNNNNNNNNNNNNNNNNNNNNNNNNNNNNNNNNNNNNNNNNNNNNNNNNNNNNNNNNNNNNNNNNNNNNNNNNNNNNNNNNNNNNNNNNNNNNNNNNNNNNNNNNNNNNNNNNNNNNNNNNNNNNNNNNNNNNNNNNNNNNNNNNNNNNNNNNNNNNNNNNNNNNNNNNNNNNNNNNNNNNNNNNNNNNNNNNNNNNNNNNNNNNNNNNNNNNNNNNNNNNNNNNNNNNNNNNNNNNNNNNNNNNNNNNNNNNNNNNNNNNNNNNNNNNNNNNNNNNNNNNNNNNNNNNNNNNNNNNNNNNNNNNNNNNNNNNNNNNNNNNNNNNNNNNNNNNNNNNNNNNNNNNNNNNNNNNNNNNNNNNNNNNNNNNNNNNNNNNNNNNNNNNNNNNNNNNNNNNNNNNNNNNNNNNNNNNNNNNNNNNNNNNNNNNNNNNNNNNNNNNNNNNNNNNNNNNNNNNNNNNNNNNNNNNNNNNNNNNNNNNNNNNNNNNNNNNNNNNNNNNNNNNNNNNNNNNNNNNNNNNNNNNNNNNNNNNNNNNNNNNNNNNNNNNNNNNNNNNNNNNNNNNNNNNNNNNNNNNNNNNNNNNNNNNNNNNNNNNNNNNNNNNNNNNNNNNNNNNNNNNNNNNNNNNNNNNNNNNNNNNNNNNNNNNNNNNNNNNNNNNNNNNNNNNNNNNNNNNNNNNNNNNNNNNNNNNNNNNNNNNNNNNNNNNNNNNNNNNNNNNNNNNNNNNNNNNNNNNNNNNNNNNNNNNNNNNNNNNNNNNNNNNNNNNNNNNNNNNNNNNNNNNNNNNNNNNNNNNNNNNNNNNNNNNNNNNNNNNNNNNNNNNNNNNNNNNNNNNNNNNNNNNNNNNNNNNNNNNNNNNNNNNNNNNNNNNNNNNNNNNNNNNNNNNNNNNNNNNNNNNNNNNNNNNNNNNNNNNNNNNNNNNNNNNNNNNNNNNNNNNNNNNNNNNNNNNNNNNNNNNNNNNNNNNNNNNNNNNNNNNNNNNNNNNNNNNNNNNNNNNNNNNNNNNNNNNNNNNNNNNNNNNNNNNNNNNNNNNNNNNNNNNNNNNNNNNNNNNNNNNNNNNNNNNNNNNNNNNNNNNNNNNNNNNNNNNNNNNNNNNNNNNNNNNNNNNNNNNNNNNNNNNNNNNNNNNNNNNNNNNNNNNNNNNNNNNNNNNNNNNNNNNNNNNNNNNNNNNNNUAUAUUGGGAAGAUGCCCGUAGUAACCUGGAUGUUCCCGUAAUUGGGUCAAAUUGGUCCUCGCGUCAGAUUGGCUAAGACCCGUAGUAAGACCUAGAUUUCCUGUAAUUAGACCACAUGGGGUCGACCGUCCAAUUCAGGUCUCAUAUUGGAUAAGAGGACCCGGAUUGGAUUAUCGAAAUUGGAUCCGAUUGGCUCCUCGAACCCGUCGUGUGAAUUGGUCCUUCUCUUCCUGCUGACUCCCGUUAUUGGAAUCGAACGGAGCAUUUCAGUAUGCCCCGGCUGACUGUAACGGGGUGACUGAACCUGACCACUCAGUAUUUGUACUGGAGUUGGUUGAUGCUCCCAAUAUUUGAGGUAACUGAAUAUUAAUAAAAUUCCCCUUUCUUUUUAUUUUCACUGUAUACUCGUGUUACAACACGACACCGCUAGAAGUUGCUUCAUAGAAAUAGAAGGUCGAAUAGCGUCCAGAUCCUUCAAAAUAUCAUAGGGUUCUAUAUUUAGGAUAAUUUCUAAUGUCUUCUUUCUUUUCAUUGGUUUGAGUUUAACUCCAUGAGAUAAGUUAUUCUUCCGCUUAUCAAGGACAAGAACUCGAUGAAAAAAUAAUUCAGACAAGUGAGCCUUCACUCAAAGAAAGGUAACAAAAUAUAAAUAAAUAAGUAUGUAUAUUGAAAGAGAAACUGGAAUGGCUAUUGCCUAAAGACAAAGAAACUAGAGACCCUUGAAACUAGACUGGAAGCAAGAAAGGAGUUGACAAGAGUGAAGAAGCCUUCACUCUUGUCUCUAUAUAUACUAUAUAACUAAGGGCUACGUGGCGACGUUCUAUAAGACCUCCAAUAUGUGUUCACUUUGUAAGACACAUGCCUUGACUUACAAGGCAAGUUUUUCUACGUGUGGGCUACAUAGUUAGCUUGAUCUUCAAGCUAACAACAUGUGUGGCACAUGGCUAACUUGUUGACCACGUUUCUAAUCCAAAAAGUCAAUUAAAGACACCUAUGAAGUCAAAACAGUAUCUAUGAAGCUUCUAGGAAGCUUUCAUAUUAAAUACUAUAGAAUUUACUUAUUUUUAUCUACUUUUACUUACUUCUAUCUAUUUGUAUAUGUAAUUAAUAGCUUACAUGAUUAUGUCCAUGACAUUACCCCUCCUUUUAGGAACGAGUUCCAUGAAGAGCGGUCAUCAUAUGUUGAGAAAAUCUAUGAUGCGACGAAUUGUAUUCACCACAUACUCUGAUCUUUGUUCUUUUCAAAGAUGAUUGAUAGGGCCUCUCAACCAUUGGUGUCGUAUUACGUGCUUUCUUGCUCGAGAACGCGUCGGGCGUCUGGCUAUAGAAGGUAGUAUGGAGAUUCGCUAAUAUUCAAGCAGUCUAUUGGUUUUUGACUUUUGAAAUAUAAACAACUGUAAGAAUACACAGUAAAUCUAUACAGAGGUCCUUCGACUGCUCGCCGAAGUCCUUUUUGUCCCAACCGAUAGGUCUCUAGACAUUACAAAGAACCCCGAACAACCCAAACUGCUAAUCUUCGAUACCGCUUUAUACUCACGAUCUUGUAUCCACUGACUGUCUUGUUAGAUUAACCCAAAAAAAUUUAUUUACUCCGCAUACUCAAUCCUAUAGACACUCCUUUAAUCCUUCAAUCAUAGAUGUAACUUCGAUUUCACAAAACAGUCAAGAGUAAUCACAUCCACUUCAUUAAAAUCUCGAUUCACCAGUACAACACUGACUUCAGCAACGAUUGCCUCAGUCUUCCCAAAACCCUAUGAAGAAAAAAAACCUCAAUUCUCUGUCUUUUUUUCCUUCCAAAGCAUGAAGCUAGCUCUCCGACCCUUCCUCUAAAAACUUAUUCUUUCCCCUUCAUUUCUUAACCUAUCCUCUCCUUUAACCUUAAUUCUCCCCUCUUUCAAACCCUAGCCUCUGAAUUUCUUCAAUCUUUCGUCUUGGAUCCGAAAUUAGCUCUCGCUGUAAGAGCUUUUUCCUCCAUUUUUACCUUUAAGAGAUCCUUUUACCGAAAGGACGUUUCCGGAAUAGCACAAAAUACGGAACAGCCUGAAACGGAAUCGAAGCCCUGUAAUCGGGACAACAUUGAGUCGCCUGACCAAUUCAGGUCUCAUAUUGGCUAAGAGGCCCAUAGUAAGACCUAGAUGUUCUCGUAAUUGGACCGCAUUGGGUUGCCCGACCAAGUCAGGUCUCAUAUUGGAUAAGAGGACCCGGAUUGGAUGUCUUGAAAUUGGAUCCAAUUGGCUCUUCGAACCAGGCUCACCCGUCAUUGAAUUGGUCCUUUUCUUUUCUGUUGACUCCCGUUAUUAGAAUCAAAUGGAGCAUUUCAGUAUGCCUCGGCUGACUGUAACGGGCUGACUCAACCUAGCCUCUUAGUAUUUGUACUGAAAUUGGUUGUUGCUCCUAAUAUUCGAGGUAACUAAACAUUAAUAAAAGUCCUCUUUCUUUAUAUUUUCACGGUAUACUCGUGUUACAACACGACAUCCACCCCCUCUGAAUCUGUGCAUCUUCCGGUGUCAUAUUGUAACAUGAGUAUACCGUGAAAAUAUAAAGAAAGGGGACUUUUAUUAAUGUUUAGUUACCUCGAAUAUUGGGAGCAACGACCAAUUCCAGUACAAAUACUGAGAGGUUAGGUUCAGUCACCCCAUUACAGUCAGCCGGGGCAUACUGAAAUGCUCCAUUUGAUUCCAAUAACAGGAAUCAGCAGGAACGGAAAGGACCAAUUCAACGACAGGUGAGUCUGGUUCGAAGAGCCAAUUGAAUCCAAUUUCAAGACAUCCAAUCCAUGUCUUACCCAAUAUGAGACCUAAAUUGGUCGGGCAACCCAAUGCGGUCCAAUUACAAGAACAUCCAGGUUACUACGGGCCUCUUAUCCAAUAUGAGACCUGAAUUGGUUGGACGACUCAAUGUGGUCCCGAUUACGUGGUUAUGAUUUUGUUUCAGGCUCUCCUAUUCUCUGUGCCAUUUGAGGGAAUGUUAUUUUCAGUAAAAGGAUCUCUUAAAGGUAAAAAUGAAAGAGAGAACUCUGACGAUGGAGCCAAUUCCAGAUCCAAGGCGGAGAUUGAAGAAAUUCAGAGGCUAGGGUUUGAAAGAGGAGAGAAUUAGGAUUAAAGGGGAGGAUAGGUUAAGAAAUGAAGGGAGAGAAUAGGUUUUUAGAAGGAUCGGAGAGCUAGCUUCAUGCUUCGGGAAGGAGAAAAAAGACAGAGAAUUGGGUUUUUUUUCUUCAUAGGGUUUAGGGAAGACUGAGGCAAUCGUUGGUUAAGUCAGUGUUGUAAUAGUGAAUCGGGAUUUUUAAUGAAGUAGGUGUCAUUACUCUUGACUGUUUUGUGAAAUCGAAGUUACGUUUGUGAUUGAAGAAUUAAAAGGGUGUCUAUAGGAUUGAGUAUGCGGAGUGAAUGAAAUUUAUUGGGUUAAUCUAAUAAGACAGUCAGUGGAUACAAGAUCGUGAGUAUAAAGCGGUAUCAAAGAUUAGAAGUUUGGGUUGUUCGGAGUUCUCUAUAAUGUCUAGAAACCUAUCGGCUAAGACAAAAAGGAUUUCGACGAGCAGUCGAAGGACAUUCGUAAAGUUUUACAGUAUAUUCUUAUAGUUGUUUAUAUUAUAACAGUCAAAAACCGAUAGACUGCUUGAAUAUUAGCGAAUCUCCAUAGUAUCUUCUACAGCCAGACGUCCGGCGCGUUCUCGAGCAGAAAAGUACGUAAUAUGACAUAAGUGGUGAACCCGACGUGAUAGCUUGAGGUGGAAGGUAUUUGAUUUUGUUUGAUUUUAUUUUUAUUUUAUAGAAAACGAAAAUAAAAAUUUUGAAGUAUCUUUGGGAGGAGUUUCUGGUGGGGGUUCUUCUAAAGGACAAGGUAUGCACAUGGAUCCAUCUAUUGAUAGUAUGUUUCAAGCCUUCUCAUUAUCAAUGCAGCAACAACAAAGCAAUGAUCGAAAAGAAGCUUUGGCAACUAAAGUAUUGCAAGCAGUGGUGAAUAAAAUUGAUCAAUUUGAUGGAAGGAAUAUUUCAAGGUAUUUAAGAUGUUAUGUUCGUGAAAUGGAAUUAAAUCGGAUUUCUAAGAAGAAAAUGGUUGAAUUAUUUGGACUUGCCACGAUGCUGGAGAUAAGAGACCAUAUUAUAUCGAUUACGGAUCGUUAUGGGAAUUCAUGGAAGGUUUUUUCACAUGCAUUGAAAGACGAAUAUUUCUUGGAAGAUGCUGAUCGCGUUACUAAGAAGUUGUUUCUGGAAUGGAUUGAACAGCCUAAUAAGAAUUCGCAAGUAACAGAGCUACUAAGGGAAUUUGAAAGGCAAUACUUUCAAUUAUCGAAGGUAGAAAAAUUAACAUUAGAGUCGAACAAAGUUGAUCUAUUUCUUCAAGCUGCUGAUGGAGAAUUGCAAGGAAAAUUAGAACUCCUUCUUGAAGACAAAUAAGAAGAUGAAGGAUUGACAACAAAGUGGAAGAACGUUGAAGAUGCGGUGGGGUUGCUUACAAAAAGAGAAAGGAGAAAGGAUAGGAGCAAUAUUCCAAAAACAGUACAAGCACCCAAAGCUCCAAUACGUAUAACACCACCAACAAUGCCUACAGUUCAACCUUUGACAUCCUUAUCAAAGAAAGCAGAUAUGGAAAUGGAAGAUAUUAUACGAGAAAUGCGAGAUCUUCAAAUCAAAUUGGCAAGACUCGAAGAGAAUACUUCUACAAAUAAUUCGAAGAAUAUUUUGAAACAAGAAUAUGUACAAAGAUGCAUUUGGUGUGAUGAUGCUUUACACACUAGAAAAGAUUACAAUGAAUUUAAUAAUAUGAUAUGGCAAGGAAUUAUUUGUUGGAAAGAUGGGAAGAUAGCAUUAAAAGAUAGGAAGGAUCUUCUUCAAACCAAUUUUGGCAAGGGAGGAAUGAGAGCAUUGGUUCAAGAUUACCUAAAAGAGCGCGAAACAUUAACACGAGAAAGUGCGAGUUAUGGUACUAGAGUAGAUGAUGACCUUGGUGGAAGUACGGAAACUAGUGAGUUUUGGGCUUCUGCCAUUUCUACAAUGCAAGAAGAAAAAUUACCUCCAGAAGCGUUAUUGAGGAUUGCAGCUACAAUACGAGGUGCAACAGGUUGAGAGGAUUCUGUUGAGUCUCUUUCAGUUCAUGCAUAUAUUACUAAGAGCCAACAUGAAGCUUUGAUGGAAGAAAAGAGACGAGGAAAUUUUGAUGAUACUAGAAAAGGAAAUUCUUCUAAAAGACAAACUCGAGGAGACAAGGCUUGGGAGGCAGCUUCACAAGAAUUGUCUGUAAAGGAUACCUCAGCAUCAUUGGAAGAAAAAGCAAGGGAGACAAAAGAUAAGGGCAAAUCAAUUACUUAUAAGCUAUUUUUUGACAUUGAAGCAGCAAAAAAUUUAAAAGGGGUGUUGGAAGAACAUAUAUUAAAUGCUAAGGUAGAAUUCACAUUGAAAGAAGUUUUGAAAAUUGCAAAGAAGGAGUUUCAUGAUGUUAUCAUUGACAGCAUUAAGAAAAAGAGGCAAUUAAUGGGUGAAAUUGGAAUGAGUCAUGCUAUUGAUGCAAGAAUAUAUAAAGAUGAAGAAGAGGUUGAUAUUGAUUACAAGCAACCAACAAAUGAAAAGAAUGGGUAUAAUCAACAAGUACGUUUCGAAGAUUAUAGUGAUAAGAAAAUAGAAACUUUGAGCCAUUAUACUCGAAAGCAUUGGACAAAGGCAACUACUGAGGUAUUGGUGAAAGUAGGAGAUAUAGAAGAACCAAUUGUUGCUUUAGUCGACCAUGGUUCUGAAAUAAAUCUCAUGUGUAAAGAUCUUUAUAAGAAGCAAAAAUGGCCAAUUGAUAUGGAACAUGGAUGGGCAAUAUGAGCAGCUAAUAACACAUGAGGCGAAUUAUAUGGAGCUUGUCCAGAUGUCAAAAUUCGGAUUGGGGAUGUUGCGACGGAGCAACAUUUCUUUGUUCAAAAUACAACGUCUUAUCCAUUGAUUUUAGGACAACUUUAUAUUACAGCAACACGGAUGGAAACAAAAGUACUUGACAAUGAUUCUGCUUAUGCAAGAAUACGUAGCAAAGAUGGAAGGAAAGCUGUACAAUUUCUAACAGUACCUCCUAACCAUGAACGGAAUCGAGAUAGGUUGAGGGAGAAACCAUUGCCAAAGAUUGUUGAAAGAUUUAAGGGUUUUGGGGAGGUACCACUGUAAAGUGAGAUUAUGGAGGUAUAAAAGAGGAGGUACUCUCGCGAGAUGAAGGUACCUUUGAUGCCAGUUUUAUUGGUAUUCUGGAGAAUGGAAAUAUUAUGUAUAAGAAAGUUGAUGAUUUUAAAAGAAAAGAAAUAAAAAGAUUAUAUGAUAUUGAAGGAGAAUUAUGCAAGUUAGGUACGCAGCAAGAAGAUAAAAGUGAUUUGGAUAAUGAAGGUGAUGAAGACGAACUAGACAAAGACGUACAGAAUAUAUUCUAAAUCAUAUAGCAAUUGAGUAAAUUGGUGCAUACCGGUGUCAUAUUACGUGCUUUCUUGCUCGAGAACACGUCGGGCGUCUGGUUGUAGAAGGUAGUAUGGAGAUUUGCUAAUAUUCAAGGAGUUUAUCGGUUGUUAACUGUUGAAAUAUAAACAACUACAAGAAUAUACUGUAAAUCUUUACGAAUGUCCUUCGACUGCUCGCCGAAAUCUUUUUUGCCUUAGCCGAUAGGUCUCUAGAGGUUAUAGAGAACCGCGAACAAUCCAAACUGCUAAUCUUCAAUAUCGCUUUAUACUCACGAUCUUGUAUCCACUGACUGUCUUAUUAGAUUAACCCAAUAAAUUUCAUUCACUCCGCAUACUCAAUCCUAUAGACAUCCUUUUAAUUCUUCAAUCACAAACGUAACUUCGAUUUCACAAAACAGUCAAGAGUAAUGACACCCACUUCAUUAAAAAUCCCGAUUCACUAUUACAACACUGACUUAACCAACGAUUGCACCUCGUAUUGUAGCUGCAAUCCUCAAUAACGCUUCUGGAGGUAAUUUUUCUUCUUGCAUUGUAGAAAUGGCAGAAGCCCAAAACUCACUAGUUUCCGUACUUCCACCAAGGUCAUCAUCUACUCUAGUACCAUAACUUGCACUUUCUCGUGUUGUUGUUUCGCGCUCUUUUAGGUAAUCUUGAACCAAUGCUCUCAUUCCUCCCUUGCCAAAAUUGGUUUGAAGAAGAUCCUUCCUAUCUUUUAAUGCUAUCUUCCCAUCUUUCCAACAAAUAAUUCCUUGCCAUAUCAUAUUAUUAAAUUCAUUGUAAUCUUUUCUAGUGUGUAAAGCAUCAUCACACCAAAUGCAUCUUUGUACAUAUUCUUGUUUCAAAAUAUUCUUUGAAUUAUUUGUAGAAGUAUUCUCUUCGAGUCUUGCCAAUUUGAUUUGAAGAUCUCGCAUUUCUCGUAUAAUAUCUUCCAUUUCCAUAUCUGCUUUCUUUGAUAAGGAUGUCAAAGGUUGAACUGUAGGCAUUGUUGGUGGUGUUAUACGUAUUGGAGCUUUGGGUGCUUGUACUGUUUUUGGAAUAUUGCUCCUAUCCUUUCUCCUUUCUCUUUUUGUAAGCAACCCCACCGCAUCUUCAACGUUCUUCCACUUUGUUGUCAAUCCUUCAUCUUCUUAUUUGUCUUCAAGAAGGAGUUCUAAUUUUCCUUGCAAUUCUCCAUCAGCAGCUUGAAGAAAUAGAUCAACUUUGUUCGACUCUAAUGUUAAUUUUUCUACCUUCGAUAAUUGAAAGUAUUGCCUUUCAAAUUCCCUUAGUAGCUCUGUUACUUGCGAAUUCUUAUUAGGCUGUUCAAUCCAUUCCAGAAACAACUUCUUAGUAACGCGAUCAGCAUCUUCCAAGAAAUAUUCGUCUUUCAAUGCAUGUGAAAAAACCUUCCAUGAAUUCCCAUAACGAUCCGUAAUCGAUAUAAUAUGGUCUCUUAUCUCCAGCAUCGUGGCAAGUCCAAAUAAUUCAACCAUUUUCUUCUUAGAAAUCCGAUUUAAUUCCAUUUCACGAACAUAACAUCUUAAAUACCUUGAAAUAUUCCUUCCAUCAAAUUGAUCAAUUUUAUUCACCACUGCUUGCAAUACUUUGGUUGCCAAAGCUUCUUUUCGAUCAUUGCUUUGUUGUUGCUGCAUUGAUAAUGAGAAGGCUUGAAACAUACUAUCAAUAGAUGGAUCCAAUAUCUUCCACCUCAAGCUUUCACGUUGGAUUCACCACUUGUGUCGUGUUACGUGCUUUCUUGCUCGAGAACGCAUCGGGCGUCUCGCUGUAGAAGGUAGUAUGGAGAUUCACUAAUAUUGAAGCAGUCUAUCGGUUUUUGACUGAUGAAAUAUAAACAACUUUAAGAAUAUACCAUAAAUCUAUACAGAUGUCUUUCGACUGCUCGCCGAAGUCCUUUUUGUUCCAGUCGGUAGGUCCUAGACAUUACAGAGAACCCCGAAGAACCCAAACUACUCAUCUUCGAUACCGCUUUAUACUCACGAUCUUGUAUCCACUGACUGUCUUGUUAGAUUAACCCAAUAAUUUUCAUUUACUCCGCAUACUCAAUCCUAUAGACACUCCUUUAAUCCUUCAAUCAUAGACGUAAUUUUGAUUUCACAAAACAGUCAAGAGUAAUCACACCCACUUCAUUAAAAUCUCGAUUCACCAGUACAACACUGACUUCAGCAACGAUUCCCUCAGUCUUCCCAAAAUCCUAUGAAGAAAAAAAACCUCAAUUCUCUGUCUUUUUUCCCCUCCAAAUCAUGAAGCUAGCUCUCCGACCCUUCUUCUAGAAACUUAUUCUCUCCCCUUCAUUUCUUAACCUAUCCUCUUCUUUAACCCUAAUUCUCCCCUCUUUCAAAUCCUAGCAUUUGAGUUUCUUCAAUCUUCCAUCUUGGAUCCGAAAUUGGCUCUAGUUGUAAGAGCUUUUUCCUCCAUUUUUACCUUUAAGAGAUCCUUUUAUCAAAAGGACAUUCCCGGAAUAGCACAAAGGACGGAAUAGCCUGAAACGGAAUCAGAGCCCCGUAAUCGGGACAACAUUGAGUCGCUCGACCAAUUCAGGUCUCAUAUUGUCUAAGAGCCCCGUAGUAAGACCUGAAUGUUCUCGUAAUUGGACUACAUUCGGUUGCCCGACCAAGUCAGGUCUCAUAUUGGAUAAGAAGACCCGAAUUAGAUGUCUUGAAAUUGGAUCCAAUUGGCUCUUCGAACCAAGCUCACUCGUCAUUGAAUUGGUCCUUUUCUUUUCUGUUGACUCCCGUUAUUAGAAUCAAACGGAGCAUUUCAGUAUGCCCCGGCUAACUGUAAUGGACGAACUGAACCUAGCCUCUCAGUAUUUGCACUGGAAUUAGUCGUUGCUCCCAAUAUUCGAGGUAACUGAACAUUAAUAAAAGUCCUCUUUCUUUAUAUUUUCACGGUAUACUCGUGUUACAACACGACAUCGGUAGUGUCCCAUAUCAGGGCGGGAUGACCACCCAGCUAUUUGAUCAUUGUUGAGGCCUUCGUAACUUCCUUCGAAUAGAAUAUUUGGAACACCAUCAGGAGUUGUUCCUACCUCUAGCACAAUCACCAAACAUCGGGAGUCUCUUCCCAAAUCAUGAUACCAAACGCGUUGUACCUCGCCAUCUAUUCGAGGAAGAACAUGUCGUUCUUGAAGAUUUUCAUCUCGAUUGCAUCGUCUUGAAGGUUGUAAAAAUUGUAAUGUCUCGUCUGGCAGGUCAGCAAAUGAAGGCUCUUGAGUCCAAUCCACUGGUUGUUGGUUCUCCAUCUCCUGAGCAUCACUACUACAAAGAAGCUAUGAACAAGAAUUGAAAGUAGAAUGUUAUCUUGCCUAGAUGUUGUUUUUUUUGUAAAGAAGGUUUUUAUCUUGAUUUUGAUGGAUGUCGUCGAUGAAAAGCCUCCAUCGCCUUUGCUGCAUUUACAAGAUUCUUUAUUGGCUCCCAUGUGCGUUCACUAAUACCAUAUCCGCGCCAAUGGACAAGAUAAUCUAAUUUAUUUUAGCGCCGCCUUGAAUCUAAGACUUCUUCUACUUCAAACUCUUCAUUAUUGUCCACUUCUAUAGGAGGAGGUGGAGCUUGUCGUCUUCUUGGUAUGUCCACUGUCUUUUAUGGUUCAAGAAGAGACAUGUGGAAUACUAGAUGGAUUUUCAUUGACUCUAAUAGAUAUAAACGAUAUGCAACUGGAUUGAUUUGUGCAGAAAUAGAAAAUGGUCCUAGCCUUCGAAAGUCCAACUUGUCACAAGGACGAGUGGUCUUGAUAUUGCGACAAAGUAGCCAUACCUUAGUACCCAAGACAAAUAAUGGUUGUUCCUUUCGAUAAACAUCCGCAUUGACCUUUUGUUGUUCUUGAGCCUCUUUUAACUGCACCUUCAUCAUUGCAUGUAGCUCUGAUAAAUGAAUUGCUAAAUCUUUCCCAACAGGAUUAUCAACUUUUGAAAAGUCAAAAGUAUCAAGUCAUGGAUGAUAACCAUAAUUAGCAAAGAAAGGUGUUUGUUUUGUAGAAGAAUGUAUUGUGUUAUUGUAAGCAAACUCUGCCAAUGGCAAAAGAGUUGUCCAAUCAUCUUGUUGGUAAUUAAUGGUACAUCUUAAAUAUUACUCCAAAACUUCAUUAACACGCUCCGUUUGUCCAUCAAUUUGAGGUUGGAAUGCCGAAGUUAGUUUUAUAUCCAUUUUAAGAAUCUUGAAAAGAGUCUGCCAAAAUCUUGAUACAAAUUGAGUUCUCCUAUCUAAUAUAAUAUCCUUGGAUAAUCCAUGAUAGCGAUAGAUAUUGUCAAGAAAGAUCUUAGCUGUUUCUUCACCUGUGAUAGAUUUUGUACAUGGUACAAAAUAUGCCAUCUUGGUAAAACGAUCUACUAUCACAAAUAUAGAAUCAUAAGAACCUUAGAUUGGAAGAUCCGUGAUGAAGUCCAUAGAAACAGAACACCAUGGUUGUUCUGGAAUGGGUAAUGGCUGAAGAAGUCCAAAAGGUCGAUGACGAGGAGUUUUUGAUCUUGAGCAAACAUCACAUGAUUGUACAAAAUCUUUAACUGCCUUUCACAUUUGAGGCUACCAAAAAUCCCUAGAUAUCAGCUCUAAAGUCUUAUGAUAUCCAAAAUAUCCUGCUGCUAGGAAGUUGUGACGAGCUUGAAGAACACGUAAACGUGCUUCUCCUUCUAGAACAUAUAGGCGUCUUUCGAAAUAGAAUAGGUUGUUCUUGAAUUCAAAUUUAGAGGGAUCAUGAGAUUUAGAAGAAUUAUUCUUGAUAUCAUGAACAAGAGGGUCUGAAGACAUACUUAACUAGACUUGCUUAAGAAAAGUUAAAUCAACAGUCAAUGUUGAUUUUAUUGCUCGAAGAUGAAAUUGCUUUGGCUUCAAGAGAACCAUUCUUUGUUGCUCAAAAGCUGCAUCUCCUUCUUUUGGUGCAAGAUAAAAACGUCUAGAUAAGGCAUCAGACAAACCUUGUUGUUUUCUUGGUCGAUAAGUGAUGAUGAACUCGAAUCUUGAUAAAGACAUGCUCCAACGAGCUUGACGACGAUUUAAUAUGCAUAUUGACAUAAAAUAUUUGAGGUUCUUGUGAUCCGUAUACAUAUUACCUAGACUGGAAGCGCCUUCUAGAUAAUGAUGCCAUUCUUGAAAAGAAUCCACAAUUGCAAGAAGUUCUUUGUCGUAAAUCUCAUAAUUGAUUUCUGCUGUUGAGAAUUUUCUUGAAUGAAAGGCCACUGGAUGAAAUUUGUCAUCUGUUCCCAUUUGUGAUAAAACCGCACCUAGAGCAAAGUCUGAUGCAUCUAUUUCCAUAAAGAAUGCUUUGGAAAAAUCAACACGAUACAAGAUUGGUGCAGAAACAAACGCUGUCUUCAAAGAUUCAAAAGUAACUUCCGCUUCUUGAUUCCAUUGGAGUUUUUCUUUACAAGUCAAAUGUGUAAAUAGAGCUGCAACUCGAGAGAAGUCUUUGAUGAAGAUCCGAUAGUAGUUGGCUAAUCUCAAAAAACAUUGGACAUCUCUUACCGUUUUUGGGAUCUUCCAGUCUAUAAUAGUUUGAACUUUCUUAGGAUCCAUCAUAAGUCCAUCAUUUGAAAUAAUGUAACCUAAGAAAUCAACUUGAAUAGUGUGGAAUAUACACUUUUCUAUCUUGGCAUAGAGUCCCACAUCUCUUAAUUUUUGUAACACACGACAAACAUGAAGUUCAUAUUCUUUUGGAUUCUUAGAAUAGAUCAAGAUGUCGUCUAGAUAAUAGAAUACAAAAUCGUCCAAAAACUCUCAAAAAACAUCAUUCAUUAGAUGUUGAAAAGCUGUUGGUGCAUUUGUAAGUCCAAAAGGCAUGACGUUGUAUUCAAAAUAUCCAUACCUAGUUCGAAACGCAGUCUUCCAUUCAUCUCCUUCUUUGAUGCAUACUAGAUUGUAUGCUCUCCGAAGAUCUAUUUUUGUAUAGAUCUUAGCUUGAUUCAGCUGAUCAAGAAGUCCAGAUAUUUAAAAGAGUGGAUACCUGUUCUUGAUGAUAAUCUUCUUGAGUCCUCGAUAAUCAAUACACAUCCGUAAUGAUCCAUCUUUUUUCUUCACAAAUAGAAUUGGAGCUCUUGCCGGAGAUUUAGAAUGGCGUAUGAAAUUCUUGGCUAGAUUUUCUUCAAUAUACUCCUUGACUUCAAUCAACUCAUUUUGUGAUAAACUGGAGAUUGAUCCAAAUGGCGGUUGUGCUCCUUCUUGAAGGUCAAUUGAGCAAUCAUAGGGACGAUGUUCCGGGAGUAUAUCCGCAUUCUUUUUUUCAAAUACAUCUUGAAAUUCUUGAUAUUGGCUUGGAAUGCCACUUAAAGACUUUUCACCAGUAGAAACGGGUGUGGCAUAAAUAAUAUAUGGUGAUUCUUUCAUAACAGCAUGCAAGAAAGCUUUUGCACCUAUAAAUACGGGUUUAAUUGAACUGGACUUAUGACUCUCUACUUGAUUAACUACACUGUUAGUUAUACUUUUAGAGAAAGUAAGAGUUUGGAAAAUCCAAUCUAUUUUAGGGUUGUAUUUUUCUAACCACGAUAAACCUAAAAUGACUGGAUUAGAGGGAGAUCUAAUGAUAUUAAAUACUACAAAACUAUUAUGACCAUUGAUUAUUACUUCUAUAGGAAGGGUUUCAUGAGUAAUAUCUCCAGAAGACAACGGACGACCAUCUAUGACUUCUACAUGAACAGGUUUAGUUUUCUUUACUAAAGAUAUGUUAUGUCUUUUAGUAAAUUUUUCAUCUAAAAAACAUGUUGAGGCUCCUGAAUCUAACAAGGCAGAGACUUUGUAAUGUUUAGGUCCUAAAAUAACAUUUAAUAUAAAAUAAGGAGAGGGCUCUGAGGAGAGAAUAGGACCUUUACUAGAUGUUGUGCAAGGUUCCAACCGCACGGUCCCUAGUGUAGCUGGACAAACUCGUUUUCUGACAUAUUGUCUUAUUUCACAGCCAUACUCUUUAUUUUGUGAUUGCGUUGUUUCUUUAGACAAUGCUAAGCAGUGUGCUUUGAUUCUCCAUAAUAUAAACAUAAUCCUUCUUGAUGACGAUGAGUCUUUUCUUGCUCAGUAAGAGGUUUGAAACGUACUGCAUCAAUUUGCAUAUCCUUCACUUCUGAAUGUAUGUGUUGAAGAGGUGUUGGUGUUGCCAUUGAAUUAUAAUAACGUUGAGGUCCACUUGUACGGUUCUCAAAUCGGAAUUCAAAAAGGUGAUUAUCGCACUUCACAGCAAAGUCAAUUGCUUGACUCAAUGUUUGAGGAUCAGGUAAGUUGAGCAUUAAUUUUUUUACCUCAUAUUGUAAUCCAUAGAGAAAUUGAUUAAUAAGUGCAAUAUCAUCUCACUUGAUAUCAGUUGCAAGUUGUCAAAAUUGUGAAGCGUAUAACGUUACAGAUCGAUUGCUUUGUCGUAAAAUAUGGAUCUUAUUGGUUGCAACAUGAAUUGCAUCAUGUUCUCCAUACAUGGAUCGAAACUCCACCAAAAAAGCCUCUAGAUUAUCCAAUAUUGGAUCUCGUCGUUCAAAAAAAGAUGAAAACCACGAUAGUGCUGAACCUGAAAGAAGCGUACCAAUGAAUCUAACUUGCGAUCUUGGAGUUGGAUAGCUUUUGGGUUGAAGUUCAAUCACAAGUUGUACUUGAUUGAUAAAUCCUCAAAAUUUAGAUCUGGUGCCAUCAAACUUCUCGGGUAGGGCAAUUCUUGGUUCUCUAACAUUAGAAGGGCGUUCCACUAUAGGAGAAAGGACAUGGUUUGGUGCAGACGUUGAAGUAGCUCCAACCAUUUCUAUAUCUUCACUUCCUGCAAAUCUUGUUGCUCCUUGUGGUGGUAAAUUGAGUUAAUGCAUCGUAAGCAUUAACUCCCUCAAUUGCUCUUGCAUUUGUACCAUUGCACUCUUCAUUUCAACAAGUUCUGCCAUGAUAACACUUAGAAGAGAGAAGAUGUUUAAUAUCGCUGAAGAUAAAUAGAAGAGAGGACUUGAGAACAAAGAAAAUACUAAUGACAAUAUCAAUUUAGAAGAGGGUAAUCCGCAAAUUCUAAUAUGCUUAUAUCUUAUCAAGAAAAAAGGGUAAUUCACUCUUAAUCAAGAUUAGACAAAGCUUUGAUAUUUUAGGUGUAUUCUUGACAAUUUGUCAAGGACAAGAAUUUGAUGAAAAAAAAAAUCAGUCAAGUGAGCCUUCACUCAAAGAAAGGUAACAAAAUAUAAAUAAACAAGUAUGUAUAUUGAAAGAGAAACUGGAAUGGCUAUUGCCAAAAGACAAAGAAAUUAGAGACCCUUGAAACUAGACUGGAAGCAAGAAAGGAGUUGACAAGAGUGAAGAAGCCUUCACUCUUUUCUCUAUAUAUAGUAUCUAACUAAGGGCUACGUGGCGACGUUCUAUAAGACCUCCAAUAUGUGUUCACUUUGUAGGACACAUGCCUUGACUUACAAGGCAAGUUUUUCUACGUGUGGGCUACAUAGUUAGCUUGAUCUUCAAGCUAACAACAUGUGUGGCACAUGGCCAACUUGUUGACCACGUUUCUAAUCCAAAAAGUCAAUUAAAGACACCUAUGAAGUCAAAACAGUAUCUAUGAAGCUUCUAGGAAGCUUUCAUAUUAAAUACUAUAGAAUUUACUUAUUUUUAUCUACUUUUAUUUACUUCUAUCUAUUUAUAUAUGUAAUUACUAGCUUACAUGAUUAUGUCCGUGACACCGCCCUGGACUCAGAAUUAGAACAGGAACCGAGGCUUCUUUGAAAUUUCCACCCCCGAGAGGAUCUUUCAACAGAUAGGAUGUUUCUCGAAACUGCGUAGAGAUCGAAACUGCUUGGAUUGGAAUCGAAGCCUCCGUAAUUGAGACCUCAUUGGGUUGUGCCACCGAGUCAAGUCUCAUACUGGGUACGAAGCUUGUAACAGGACCUGGAUUAGAUGGUCCCCUAAUUGGGUCGAAUUAGUCUUUCGCUUCGAGAUUACUCAAAUAUUGAAUUGACCUUUUUCCCUUUUGCUAACUCCGGAUAAGAAUGGUUUGGACACAUUCCACCCGAUUUACUGGAGAAUCUUGAGGACCUCAAUUUAUCUCCUCAAUUUUUCCUUGGCUUUGGAUCUGUUGAUCCCGAUUAUUGAAAUUGAAUGGAGUAUUACAUUGUUGAUACGUAUGCCCUGACUGCUUGCAAUUCCCACAAACUGGUGCAUAAUCGUCACUAGCUUCGGGAUUGAGACAUUCAUUUGCAUGAUGACCAUUUUGUCUGCAACGGAAACAACGAAGUGGUCUUCUUGCACCCCCAUCAGGCAUAUUGGGUGCCUCCACUAGUAUAUACCUACUAGGCUUGUUCCAUGUAGGGUUAGAAAAUGAUCCUGGUUGUCCCGUUGGUACUGAGGAAACUUGGUUUGGUGACGUCGAUGGAGCAUAUUACUGAUACCUCUGCUGCUCCUUACCAUAGUUCUGGAGGUUCGAUGCAGACCCCUGAUUAAAAUUGGAACUUUGAAAGUUAUUGAAUGCUCAGUUCUGUCGAUUAAAUCGAUUUCCAUUCCAUCCAAACAUAUUUUCCAUUUGUACUUGAUUGACGUCUCACUAGGUUGGUGGGAUCAUGGUCUGAUUACUAAAUUGUUGUUGUUGUCUUUGUCGAUUCCAACAAUUUGCUAUUAGGUACUUUCCUCCGUAAAAUGUACAUUGAUCCAUUAUUUGUAAGAGUCAGGGACAUUCUGUUACUGAAUGAUCGUGGCCCUUACAAUUACUUCACCAUACAUUGGUCCUAGUAUUGAUAGGCUCUUCCCUCUUCUCCUUAUCUUUGACCAUAUUGAUGGCCAUUUCUUCCAUUUUCUUCGUCAAAUUCAAUAACAAGGUUUCAUUGGAAUCUUUUAGGGCUAGCAUUAUUAGUAUCUCUAUCGUAAUUAAUGCUUAUUGUUGAUACAAAAAAUAUGGAGCAUACGCUAUUGACACGUUCGAUGGUAUAGCUUGCAAUGGGGUGACAUUAACUGGCCCCUAAAUACUAGUAUUGGAAUUGGCCCCUAUUUCUAACAUCCGUGGAUAACUACCCACUAAUUCAUUCCAAGUCGGAUUUUGAUAUCUACCUUGAACUAGAAUCAUCCUGGCUCCCGCAAUUAAAAACUGAUCAUAAUGGCAUUCCUCUCAAACCUUGACUCUAUUAAGAGAUGAUGCAAUGGUGGCUGAUUGGACCUCCUUUACAAACAUCUUCAAUUUUGGUGGGUGUAGUCCAUUAAUCAAUAUGGACAACACAAAUGAUUUCGGCAUUUGGUUAUUUGGCCAUUUUCAAAGUAUAUCUACUACGCGACCAUAAUAUGACUGUGCCGCUUCCCAUGGUUCCAUUUUUUUAUUCAUUAAUUUUUCUCGAAGGCGGUCCUCAAAACCAAUUGGUCAAAAAUGAGAUAAAAAUGCAUUCUUCAAUACUUCUCAAUUCAGAAAUUGAUCCACUGAUUGGCGGUUGUACCAUUCAAACGUCAUGUCUUUUAAGGUCACUGGCAGUCAUCGUAACCAAAUAUCUUCAGUUUUGCCAUUAUUAGCUACAUAUGCUGUAAAAAAUUGAGACAAAUGUUGAUCGAGAUCCGCACCCAAAAAUUCCCAAAAAAUAGGUAGUGGCACGACACUAGUUGUACGAUCGCCUACUGCACCCAUUUGUACUGCAAUCAGAAUGACUCGUCCUCUUGACGCCAUUGAAUUUCUUAUUCCACUAAACUCCAUUUUAAAAUAAUCUCUGCUUUUCCUUAUUCUAAUUUCCAAGCUCUCAGUGCUCCUUAAUUUACUGUUAUUUUCUGUAAAUAGUUUUAUUGGUUGAAUUACAGGUGAAAACGUUAGAUUUUGAAAUACAAUAUAGUUAUCUUUAUUAGCGACCAAUUUAUGCCAAUCUGAAGAGCCACUAUUGCUCAUUUCAGCGGUACCUUCUACUGAAAAAAUAUCCAAUGGAGUACCAAAUUCUUCUAUGCCUCCUUUUCUUUCAUUUAACAGCCUCAAGAUCUCCACUGGAAUGUUAACAAAAUUUCUCACAAGUGUUCUUGGCAGUUUUUCUAACGAUACAUACGACUGUAGAAUUAACAGUCUGUUUGGUUCUUAAUAUGUUCGGAUACAUCGACAAGCUUGCAACCAUGGUUUAAUCCAAUUCUAUCGAUGCUUUCUUUUAAGAUUACGUUCUUGCUCCUCUCUAAGUAAGUUUCUUUCUUGCGCUCUUCCUUGUCUUUCUCUCAACUGAUUUAUUUUCCUAGAUGCAAUGCUCUCGUUCUUAUUAACCAUAAUCUUGCUUCAAACACUACUGAAAUCGUCUUCCAUUGCCAAUUUUCACAUUUGGUAAUUAAUUCCUAACACUCAAAGCUAUUAUCUCUCCCCGGUAGUGGCAUCAAAAUGUGAUUGCUCGUUUUACUUAUUCCAAAUUAAUCUAAUAGGAAUAAAUCCGUAUAGGGAGAUUCGAACAUGAGGAAUGACUAGUUGCUUAAGCAUUCACGUUAGGGUCACACAAUCAAUUACCUCCUGAAUGUAUCGUCUCUAUUUCUAAUAUCUGAACACACAAAGAAACUAUAAUCUCCUCCUUCAUCUUAUUGAUCUCUUCUUUACAACAAUUUAGUUAUACCAAUAACUACUAUUUCUACCAAUAUAUUCACCCUCAUAAUCUCCAACUAUAAUACUGCACCUUCACAGUGUUCAGCACACAAUUACCCUCAUUCCAAUCAUUGGAAUUCUUCACAUAAAACUGCCAUUCACAUUACGGUGUUUCACACAAACACAGACUCAUUCUCUCUGCUGAACUACAAUCAAAUUUUAGCAUUCAAUCUUUCUUCUUCUCAAAUAAUACCAAUCACAUGUCCAUUCCAUAAUUUACUUCACAAUAUUCAGAAACCCUCAAUCGUUUAAUUCAAAGAAAAUAACAAACAAAAGAAAAGAGGUAGCACGAAGCUUACCCCGGCUCACACUAUCACAACAAUGGCACCUUAAUUAACUUCUGCAACUUUUAUAUACUUUCUCCUGAUUCUCCAGAUUCUAAUUGUAGUUCUGUAAUUAAUCACUUUUAAGAACUAAAUCACUCAUCCGUCUUCCUGAAUUUUCUAUUAUAUGGACUAUUAAUAUAUUUUACCAAUAUCUUUCAAAAACAAAUUAAUAUCUAUUCUACACAUACUAUCUUCUUUGAUAGCCGUACUCUUCAUUAUGUGGUUGCAUCACUUUUUUGGGCAAUGUUGAAUAGUGUGCUUAGAUUCUCUACAAUAUAAGCACAAUCCUUCCUAAUGACGAUAAGUCUUUUUUUGCUCAAUAAGAAAUUUGAAACGUACUGCAUCAAUUUGCAUAUCCUCUACUUUCGAAUAUAUAUGUUGAAGAGAUGUUAAUGUUUCCAUUGAAUUAUAGUAACAUUAAGGUUCACUUGUACGGUUCUCAGAUCAAAAUUCAAAAAGAUGAUUGUCACACUUCACAACAAAGUCAAUUGCUUGACUCAAUAUUUGAAGAUCAGGUAAGUUGUGAAUUAAUUUUUUAUCUCAUAUUAUAAUCUAUAGAAAAAUUGGCUAACAAGUGCAAUAUUAUCUCACUUGAUAUUAAUUAUAAGUUGUCAAAAUUUUGAAGUAUACAACGUUACUGAUCAAUUUUUUUAUCGUAAAAUAUGGAUCUUAUUGGAUGCAACAUGAAUUGCAUCAUGUUUUCCAUACUUGGUUCAAAAUUCUACCAAAAAAGCCUCCAGAUUAUUCAAUAUUGGAUCUCGUCAUUCAAGAAAAGAUGAAAACUAUGAUAAUGCUGAACUUGAAAGAAACAUACCAAUGAAUCUAAUCUACGAUCUUAGAGUUGGAUAGCUUUGGAGUUGAAGUUCAAUCACAAGUUGUAUUUGAUUGAUAAAUCCUCUAAAAUUUGAUCUGGUACCAUCAAACUUCUCGGGUAGGGCAAUUCUUGGUUCUCUAACAAUGGAAGGAUGUUCCACUAUAGGAGAAGGGAUAUGAUUUGGUACAAAUGUUGAAGCAGCUCCAAUCAUUUCUAUAUCUUCACUUCUUGCCAAUCUUGUUGCUCCUUGUGGUGAUAAAUUGAAUUGAUGCAUUGCAAGCAUUAACUCCCUCAAUUGCUCUUCCAUUUGUGCCAUUGCACUCUUCAUUUCAGCAAGUCUUGUUAUGAUAACACUUAUAAAAGAGAAGAUGUCUAAUAUCGCUCAAGACAAAUAGAAGAGAGGACUUGAGAACAAAGAAAAUACUAAGAAUAAUAUCAAUUUAGAAGAGGGUAAUCUACAACUUCUAAUAUACUUAUAUCUUAUCAAGAGAAAGGGAUAAUCCACUUUUAAUUAAGAUUAGAAAAAGCUCUGAUAUUAUAAGUGCACUCUUGUCAAUUUGUCAAAGACAAGAACUUGAUAAAAAAAAAAAAAAAAAAGUGAGACUUUUUUUAAAGAAAGAUGAAAAAAUAAAAAUAAAUAAAUAUGUAUAUUAAGAAAGAAAUUGGAAUAGCUAUUGACAAAAGAUAAGAAAACUAAAGACCCUUGAAACUAGACUAGAAGUAAGAAAGGAGUUGACAAGAGUGAAGAAGGCUUCACUCUUGCCUCUAUAUAUACUAUCUACCUAGGAGGUACAUUAUAAUAUUCUAUAGGACCUUCAAAAAUGUGUUGACUUUAUACAACACAUAUCUUAUUUUGCAAGGCAAGUUUUCUAUGUAGACACCACAUAGUUAGCUUGUUUUGCAAGCUAUCAACAUGUGUGGCAUGUGGUUAACUUUUUGACCAAGUUUCUAAUCUAUCAAUCAAGUAUAAACACAUGUAAAGUCAAAACAACAUCUAUAAAGCUUCUAAGAAGCUUUUCUAAAAUAUAUUAUGAAAUUAAUCUACUUUUAUCUACUUCUACUUAUUCAUAUCACCUAGGUAAUAAUUAUAGUAAAUAUAUGUCCGUGACAGAGGGAGAUUUAAUUAUAUUAAAGAUUAUGCAACUACUAUGACCAUUUAUUGCUACAUCUAUAAGAAUUGUUUCAUCAGUAAUAUCUCUAGAAGACAACAGAUGACUAUCUAUGAUUUCUACGUGAACAGAUUUGGUUUUUUGUACUAAUGAUAUUUUAUGACUUUUAAUAAAUUCUACAUCUAAGAAACAAGCUGAGGCUCUUGAAUCUAUCAAGGUGGAGGCUUUAUAAUUAUUAGGUUCUAAAUGUACAUCUAUUAUAAAACAAGGAGAAGGUUUUGAAGAAAAGAUAAGACCUUCAUAAAAAUUUUACAAGAUUCUGGCCACAUAGUCUCUAUUGUAGUUGAAUAAAUUUAUUUUCUAACACAUUUCUUCUUUGACAAAUGUGCUCCUCAUUUUGUGAUUUUUUCUCUUCUUUGAACAAUAUUGAGUAGUAUGUUUAGGUUCUCCACAAUAUAAGUAUAAUCCUUUUUGACGACAACAAGUCUUUUCUUGCUUGGUAAGAGGUUUAAAAUGUACCACAUUAAUUUGCAUAUCCUCUACUUCUGAAUAUAUGUGUUGAAGAGAUGUUGGUAUUGCCAUCGAAUUGUAGUAAUAUUGAAGCUCAUUUUUACGACUUUCAGAUCAAAAUUCAAAAAGUCAAUUGUUGUAUUUUACAGCAAAAUCAAUUGCUUAAUUCAAUGUUUGAGAAUCAGGUAAGUUGAGCAUCAAUUUCUUUACUUCAUAUUAUAAUCCAUAGAAAAAAUGGCAAAUAAGUGCAGCAUCAUUCUACUUGAUAUUAGUUGUAAGUUGUCAAAAUUGUGAAGCAUAUAACAUUACAAAUCAAUUGACUUGACGCAAAAUACGGAUCUUAUUAGUUGCAACAUGAGUUGUAUCAUGAUAUCUAUACAUGGACCAAAAUUUUACCAAAAAUGCCUCCAAAUCAUCCAAUAUUAAAUCUCAUUGUUAACGAAAAGAUGAAAAUCACAAUAGUAUUGAAUAUAAUAGAUGUGUACUAAUGAAUCUAACUUGUGAUCCUGGAGUUGAAUAGCUUUGAGAUUGAAGUUCAAUCACAAAUUGUACUUCAUUUAUAAAUCCUCAAAAUUUGGAUCGUAUACCAUGAAACUUCUUGGAUAAAGUAACUCUUAGUUCUCUAACACUUGAAGGAUGUUCUACUAUGGGUAGAAGGACAUGAUUUGGUGGAGAUACUGAAGCAGCUCUAAUCAUCUCUAUAUUCUAACUUCCUACGAUUUUUGUUGAUUCUUGUGGUAGUAAGCUAAGUUGAUGCAUUGCAAGCAUCAAUUCUCUCAAUUGCUCUUAUAUUUGUGCCAUUGCACUCUUCAUUUCUAUAAUCUCUACCAUAAUAACACUCAAAAAAAUAUCUAAUACCACUCAAGACAAGUAGAAGAAAGGGCUUAAGGACAAAGAAAAUACUAAGAACAAUAUUAUUUUAAAAGAGGGUAAUCUGCAACUUCUAAUAUGCUUAUUUUUUAUCAUGAAAAAGGAGUAAUCCACUCUUAAUCAAGACAAGACAAAGCUUUGAUAUUGUAAGUGUAUUCUUGUCAAUCUGUCAAGGACAUGAACUAAAAGAUGAUGCAUAAAUCAAUGAAAUUCGUGUCAAAGAAUGAGUAACAAAAUAGAAAUAAAGAAGUAUGUAUAUUAAAAAGAAAUUGGAAUGACUUAUUGCCAAAAGACAAGGAAACUUGAGACUCUUGAACUUAGACUAGAAACAAGAAAUAAAUUGAUAAGACUGAAGAGGGCUUCAUUCUUGUCUCUAUAUAUACUAUCUAACUAAGGACUACGUGGCGAUGUUCUAUAGGACCUUCAAUAUGUAUUGACUUUGUAGCAUACAUGCUUUGACUUACAAGGCAAGUUUUUCUACAUGUAGGCCACAUAGUUAGCUUGGUCUUUAAACUAACAACAUGUAUGGCACAUGGCCAAUUUUUUGAUCACUUUUCUAGUCUAAAAAGUCAAUUAUAGACAUCUAUAAAAUCAAAGCAAUAUCUAUGAAGCUUUUAGGAAGCUUGUAUAGAAGAUAUUAUAGAAUUAACUUACUUUUACCUACUUCUACUUACUUCUAUCUAUUUAUACAAGUAAUUACUCGCUUACAUGCGUAUCUCUGUGACAUAAGGUAUUGUGUACUUCAAAAUAUAAAAAAAGCUUGAAUGGCACCAUCUUGGCAUAGUAGUAAUUUUAGAUACAUGGUAGUAUAAAAAAAUUCAUUAUGAGUUUGAAGUAUUAGUAACAUGUAUUUAAUUCUUGUAAACUGUAAUAAUAUUUUGAAAGAUAAGCAUGUAAUAUAACUUUUAAAAUUAUUGAUAUUUUUACAUGUAUUCUUAUGGUGGUAUACACAAUGAGUAGGAUUUUAACAUAGCUACUUGAUUUAGUAAUGUAUUUGGGAUAACUUCAAAUAAUAAUUUUAAAUAACAUAGUAAAUUUGAUGUAUAUUUAUAAAUGCAUGGUGAUAAGGUGAAAUUGAAAUUUUUGCAAGAUAAUUAUCAAGGCAUAAUAUUUUAAAAAAAAAGAAUAAAUACAUGUUUGUAAAAAAUUUACAAUUAUCCAUUUGGAAUUGAAGAUAAUUAAUUAUGAUUGAUUAAAUCAAUGAUUAUUUGAUAAAUAUAAUUAUUAUGCUGAACAUGGAAGAUAUAACAUUUUAAGUUAUAGAAUGAUUAAAGUCAUUGCUUGAUGAAUUGGAAAAUCUUGCAUCUUUGAUGAUUUUAAUUUUUUAAGAGUAUAAUAUUGGAUUAUUAUUAAAUGAAAUAGAUGAUCUUAUUUUUUUUAUUACUUUAUAUGUUAAGGAGUGUGUUUAAAGAAAACCAUUAUCAAAUGGAAUGUACAUUUAUAUAUUUUUAAUUAUCUAAAAUAUAAAGAUGUGUCCAAGUUUGAUAUUAUUGCUAAAUUAAAUAGAUAACCUUACAUCUUUGACAACCUUUAAUAUUUAAGGUUGUUUAACCUUGAAGUCAUUGCCAAAUAAAUUAGACAAUCUUACAUCUUUGACUACCUUAAAUAUAGUGUGGUAUUACAGUUUGGCAUUAGUGGUAAUUGAAUUGAAUAAUUUCAUAUCUUUGGCUAUCUUAAAUAUUAAGUAGUAUAAAUGUUUAAGGUCAUCCUUGACUACCUUUAUACAAAUGAAUUGGGCAAUUGCACAUCUUUGACAAUUUUACAUAUUAAAAAAUAUAAUUAAUAGUCAUUGCUAAAUGAAUUGGAUAAUCUUAUAUCUUUGAUUUUUUUAAAUAUUAAAACGUUUGUACAAUUAACAUCAUUACUAAAUAAAUUGAAUAACCUUACAUCCUUGACUACCUUUAAUAUUGAAGAGUCUUGAUAUUUGGCAUCAUUGUGACAUGAAUUGGACAAUCUAAUAUCUUUGAUUACCUGAAAUAUUAGGAGGUGUUUAAGUUUGGCAUUAUUGCCACAUGAAUAGGACAACUUCACAUCCAUGACUACUUUUAAUAUUGAGUAGUAUUCAAGUUUGGCAUCAUUGCCACAUGAAUUUGGAAAUCUAACAUCUUUAAUUACUUUAAAUAUUAGGAGGUAUUUAAAUUUGGCAUCAUUGCCAAAUGAAUUGGACAACCUCAUAUCUUUAAUCUUUCUUAAUGUUAGAAGGUAUAAAUGGUUGAUGUCAUUGCUAAAUGACUUAGGCAACCUCACAUCUUUGACAAUCUUAGAUGUUAGUUUUUACUUUAACUUAACUACCUUAAAUAUAAGUAAUAACUUAAGAUUAAGAUCAUUAUAAAAUAAAUUAAUGAAUCUUAAAUCUUUGACUAAUUUAGUUAUAUGGAAAUGUGUAUUCUUAAAAUUAUUACCAAAUGAAUUCUGUAACAUUAGAUCUUUAACUUAUUUAAAUAUAAUUAAGUAUCUUAUUUUGACAUCAUUGCCCAAAGAACUGACUGAUCUUAAAUAUUUGAAAAAUUUGAAUAUUAUUAAGUGUGAAAGCUUGACAUCAUUGUCAAAUGAAUUGAGAAAUCUUAUAACUUUCACUAAUUUAACUAUAACAAAAACUACGUGUUUGACUUUGUUGCUAAAUGAAUUAGGCAAUCUCACAUCUUGAAUUAUUUUAAAGAUAAGAAAGUGUCCAAAAUUAAUAAUAUUACCAAAUGAAUUAGACAAACUAUCAUCUUUGACUAUUUUAAAUAUGAAUUAUUAUUCAAAAUUGGAGUUUUUGCUAAAUGGCUUAGAUAAACUCACAACUUUAAUAACUUUGAAUUUUAAAGGUUAUACAAAUUUGACAUCAUUGUUGAAUGAAUUGGGCACACUUACAUCUUUGACUACCUUAAAUAUAGAAGUUUGCAUGUUUUUAGUCUUUCUUCAGAUAAUAAGGAAUAAGAGGCAUUAUCUUCACUAGUCCAAUAUAAGCUUUAUAUAGAGUUAUUUAUUUAUUUAUUUAUUUAUUUUUCUUGUCUUCUAAGAUUUUCUUGAGUUUAUUGCUAAGCUUUAUAAAGUAAUUAGUGUGAAUAUAUAUUAUUCUACUUUAGCAAAAAAAUCCAUUUUGUAUUUAUUUCUCUAUGUAUGUAUAAUUUCUUUUUUCUUUAACAAAGUUAUUAUAUAUAAUCAAAUGCUAUGUAUCUAUAAUAAGAUUAAAGAUAAAAAAUAUUACUAAAAAUAAAUAGAAAAAUUGUAUUAAUCUCUUACAAAGUUUUUGAAAGAAUUAGAUGAUUAAUAUCUAAGAUUAAAAGUGUUGGUUAAGUAACAUACAAUUUAACAUUGAAGAUUUGUUUUAGUAAAGAGAAAAAAAAUGUUUAUUUAUUUAUUACUUUAAAAGAAACACAAGAUAAAGAAGGACAAAUUCAAGAAAGGUUCUAAGAUGCAUACAUAAAAAAAAGGUGGGGUAAAAUAUUUCUUACUUUCAAUGUACUUUAAUGCUUGUUCAUAAACUAUACUGUUAAAUAUAAUUUUUUUGCUUUAAGACUAAGAAAUAGAGAGUUGAAAUUACAACAUAAACUUCUAAACAUCCUUGACUCAGUCGAAAAUCUCACGACGACAGAAUUAUCUCUCAUCAGCACAAGGGUCAUUCUCUAACAGGAACAUGAACGACCGUUGAGAUUUCUUCCAAAUCUAGACAACAAUAUGGACUUCCCAUUGUAUGAUGGCAUGGUAAUCUUAAGCAUUUGCGAUUCCAAGGAAGCACAGAUACCUGAUUUGAAGUAGCUCGAGAAGAGAAAAACCAGCACCUGCAAGAAGGGCGGAGGAAUUUUUUCAGAGAAUGUAUCUAGCUGAAGUUUGCUCCACAAGCUCUCUCUGGAGACUUGGAGUAAGGAGGAGACAUUUGCUUCAUCAGCUUCAAAGGUCUCGUGUCUCCAGUGUUUCCUUUGUUUAGGCUUAGUUGUGUGGCACUCUUCACCUGACGGUUCCAUUUGGAGUAAAUUUUUGGUUGGUGUACAAGGCUGUUAGUCAGGUCAAAGUUACAGGUGAGAACAACGAGAUGACGUGCUGGGAGUUGCUUUUGUAAUGACUUAGUCGAUCAUGUUAACUGAGCAAUAAAUUGGAUUCAUUCUUGAGCUCAUUCCACUGUCGGCUUGUUUGAGGUAUCUUAUUUCUUGUUAAUGCUAAAUAUUGUCCUAAAUAUUGUGAGCUAAAGUAUGUGGGAGUCUAAAGCUGAUGGUAACCUUUGUCGUUACCAAAAAUAGAGAGUGAACUUCUAUGACGUGGACCUGAGAUUUUGAUCUAGUUGAAGUCGGAUGCCUUGGAACACAAAUUAAGGGUAAGGAAUCCAACUGUUCUGAAGCUUUUGAAUGAUAAUGAUGUGAUGGUCGUUGUGGUAAUUUGAUGUCCUGAGGCACCGGCCAUCUGUGAAGAGAUCCUAUGUUGUGUGAUCAGCAUUUAUAUUCAGAAUUUGGAGUUUCUUAACUAAAUCCAAUUAACUGAAUCCAAAGGCUGUUCGGCGUAGGAUCCCCAAGGAUAUAACAACAGAAGAAGAAGACAAGCUCUGCCACUCCGUGACUCGUGGUCGCAAUCGCCUGGAUGUCCUUGUGAGCCAUUAUAGCCCGAGCAGUUCUUUAUAUCCUUAGGGCUGGAAAUAUCCUGAGACUUUUGGCCGUGAGUUUUGAAUAUUUUUCAUGUUGUGAGAAUGAGGGGGUUCUCUUAUUAUUGAUUGAAGAGCAAGAUAAGCAAUUAUGUUGUUGUGCCAAAUUGUAGAGUUGUUUUUUUACCUCCUUUGAUUUAGAUGUUCUUGAGAUUACCUCCUUUGCCCAUGUUGGAGCUCCAAGCAGCACAAGCAUGCUUUUCACGCGUAGUUUCAUGUCGUAAAUAUAUCUCGAGGAUAGUUGCAGCAACAGAAUUGCUCAAUGACCAUUCAACACUUGCUUGCCCGGAAAGCUUUGGAUAAGAUCUGAUGAUUUUUUGAUGAAGAUCUAGACGAGAGCACAUCUUCGCAGAACCAGCAAAACACGACAACGAGGUUUGUGAGGGGCAUCAAUAAUUUUGGAGAGAGGUUGACGAGGACUAUGAGCAAUAUCGAUGAUACAGCUGGGGUGUUGACAUCCAUAGUUGCAGCGUCAGGGAGCUCUUUGGGCAGGAGAUUUUUUUUGUGAGCAAGAUAAGAGAUAGCAGAUCUAGCAAGAAGAGGAGAGAGGAAGGUAUGGAUAGGAAUGUUUGUUUUUGGUUUUUGUUGAGCAUGUGCGGAUUUCCAUGUGCAUUUAUUUUAGUUUUGUUUCGGUAGCAGCUAGCUGAAUGUUGUCACCUCCCUUUUGACACAUUGUUUGAACUCUUACAGUACCAUAUUUUCUCAAUUUUUCCGCUGCACAGAUAUCGCAUUUAUGCAAUUUGGAUAAAGCAUCCCUUCUGGGGAUGAGGAUUUCUUUUGGGGAUAUAUAGGGAUGUAGAUUGAUUAUUUAAGAUGUAGAUCGAUGAUGAUCUAGUGAAGUUAAUUUGUCACAGGGGACACAUGCAUAAUGAGAUGAUGCCUUAGAAGGUGGUGACUAGUAGUGCACAUCAGUGAGUAACUUAGAAACAUAGUUUUGCUGAAAAGGUUACAUAUAGUGAUUAAUACAUGUUUGUGAUUCUUAAUAAUAAAAGAAUGUAUAAUAUUAGUGGUUUGACUUAGAAUUUAAAGUUGAAAGAUUGUAAAUAUUUAAAAAGAAUAACUUUAAAAUAGAAGUUAAUUAGUGCUUACCAAUACAAAAUUGAUGAACUUAUUUGAAUAGUUUAAUAUGUUAAUUGACAAAACUAUAGAAGCAAGAAACAAAAGUCUAAUUGGAAGCAAUCUUGUAUUUUUUUUUUCUUUUAGAAGUGAUAUAUAAUUUUAUAUUUUGAUGUUAAGCAAUAGUUGGAAUUUGAAGCAUAAGAAUAGAAUGUGGACUUUUUGAAUUAAUUUCAUAUAUUAAUAUUUAAAAAUUUUCUUUUGUAUUAUAUAUAUAUAUAUAUAUAUAUAUAUAGAAUUAAGUAUAUCUUAUAAUUUUUUUGGAAUUCUUAUACUUUGAUUGCUUAAUUUUUAUUUGUCUAUUUCUAAAAGAGCUAUGUUACUUACUUUGUUCAAUUCUCUUGUAUAUGAGUCUAUUUUCUUAUAGUUCUUUACUUUAUUUUUAUUUUUUUUUGAAUAGAUUUUAUACAAGUAGUAAAAAAAAAUUGAAACUAAAUAACUAUUAAUAUUACAAUUCAAAUAUAAGAAUAUGCUAAUACCAUUGCAUACAUAGAGUUAAGGACAAGAACUCAAAGAAUGUAAAUAAACAAGCAAGACAUAUAUCAAAGAGAGAUAACAAAAAUAAAAUAAGCAAGUAGGAAUAUUCAAGAAAAAACUAGAAUUGCUAUUGCUAAAGACUAAAAAGCUAGAGAUUCUUGAAAUUAGACUAGAAGUAAGAAAAAAAUCAACAAGAGUGAAGAAGGCCUCAAGAACUUUAUUUUUCUUUUAAAGAUAAUAAAAUUUUAAUUUUAAAAAAUAAUUUAAGCAUUUUUUUUAUUAUUUUUUUUAUUCUACUUAGAAUUUAUGUGUAAUUAAUAAAUUCUAAUAAUCUUAUAUAAAAAGAUAUUAAACUAAUAGCUUUUGUAUCCUGUGUAAAAAUUAUCAAAAAUUUAUAUUACUUUGUAAUAUUUACAAGGUAUGAUUUAAUCAUUGUUUCCUAUCAUAUAUUACAAUUUAUAUCAAAGAUAAGUGUUUUACAUUAGAUAAUUUGAAAAAUAAGUAGAAACAAAUAUAAAUGUGUUCAGUGAUUAAUAUCUUCAAAACUUUAAGAAACCUUUUUAGAUGCAAAUCACAUAUUUACACUCUAGUAGAUAUGCCACAUAGCUAUUAAAACUUAUUUUUGAAGUUUCUUAAUUUUAAGAAGUCACCUCAAAAACAAUCCAAAACUUAAUGCUUGAAUCACAAGCUUUAUGAUUCCCAGAAAGUUUCUAUAAGACCUCCUUGGUAGUUACUACAUAUAGAGAUAAGACUAAAACCAUCCUUAAACUUUUUAAUAUAUUUUAUGUAUUCUAAUUUUAAUUUAAGACUCUCCUCUUUCUUUGUAAUAACUAGUAGCAAUUUUAAUUCUUUUCUAUUUAAUAUUUAUUUUUUAUUUGUCUACUUUCUCUCUUUUAAUAAUACAAGAGUAUAUUGUCAUCUAUCAAAUAUUCCAAACUACUUGGCACUACUUCUAAUUAUUAUAAAAUAUUCACAUCCAUUUAAAUCUAAGACAUUUUAAAAUGAUGAAUCUCUAAAUGCAUUAUGUGAAACCUUUAUUUUUUUUACAAUUUUUAAAUGAUAACUUUUCCAACUUUGAUAGCUUCUUCAAUCUUAAGGACAUUUCUUCUAAAUACUCACAUCUAGCAAAUCAUAAUAUCCUCAAUUCUUUCAUGCUAUCAAAUAUUGUAUCUAAUUUCUUUAGAUUAAAGCAUUCAUUAAAAGAAAAUCUUACAGGCAAAUAAGGUACUCAAAGCUUCUCAAUACAACUUCUAGUUGUGCACACCCAAUCAUGUGCAUAGCAUUUAAUGAUAAAAAUCCUUCAGAUGCAUCAUAUGCAAUUCUUAUAUUUAAUUUUUUCCAAAAAAUCUAUAUAUAUAUAUAUUUAAAAUAAAAUAAAAUUUCUUACAUAACAUAUGCAAAUAAUUCAAAUGAUCUUUAGUAUUAUUUUAUUUGUACUUGAUUUUUCUUUUCUUUUAAAUAAAUAUACAAUCAUAUAUAUUCUUUCUGUUGAUGUACACAAAAUUAAUAAAUUUUGUUUAAAAAAAAUUAAUGUGUGAAAAAUCAUAUGGUUGUUUCAUUUUUUAGAUCAUAAAUUGGAAAUUAAACAAUAUUAUGAUAGAUGGAAUAUAUAUAUAUAUAUAUAUAUAUAUAUAUAUAUAAUUCUUCGACAUUCACUUCUUAUUCUUAUUUUGCUAUGGACAUCAAUGGUACAACAAAAGAAUACAAAAAAAAAAAAAAAAAAAAAAAAAAGAGGUGGGUCUUGUACUUCAUUUAUUAAAUAGUUUUGUUUGAAACAUAUUUAGUGUAAUUUUGCAACACUUGAUUACAAACAGGCUUAUUGGUUAUUCUGACUAAGCAUUAUAGAAAAAUAAAAUAAGGCCAUUCACCACAAACCAAAAGAAGCUCGCAAAAGCCGGAGUUUUGCAUGAAUAAUCAAAAAACAAUUUCAUCAGAAAAAAGCUUUAAAAAAUUUACCUACAACAGGUCUUUUGAUGCGCAUGGUACUCUCCGUGUGCUGUUCAGGUACAUGCCCAGAAGAAAUCCUAGACUAACGGGGACAUAAGAAAUGGGAGUUGGUGGAGUAACUGUUCAAAGAUGCUGGUUUUAGCAACAGUUCAUUUUGCGGGUUCUGGCAGAGCACUAACACUGCAGAGGUAUCCUUUGCCUCGUCGGUCGCUCUUGCUUCAGAUUCAGAGUACCUGAUUCGCAUCAGACCCAUCUCGAUUUCGAGCCAUAUCCAACUUACAUGCUUCAUCCUUAUAUUGUCUGAGAUCAUGUGGUAUCUUCUCUCGCGACCCUUCUCAUUCAUCAUACAUGACAUGGUUCUGAACACUUUCUCACAUCACUUGCUGACAAAUUCUUAACGGCCUUCGAUAAACUGAGUGAAGUCGUGGUGUGUGCUUUACUUUCACACUGUAGGGAAGACUAAAGGGACCUUGCCAGGAUAAGGUUCUGUAGAGGCUGCACCGCAUUUGUAGACCUCUCGAAAUGUAAAAUAUUUCCAUCCAUUGCCCGACAGACAUGCACCGUCAUUUUCCUAAAUAAGGCGCAUCAGGAACUCGUUUGGGGUCUACUCCCAGAGCAAGCUAACUCGUUGUCCCGAGAGAACUGAUUGCGCUCCAGACGCCGGAAUUCAUUGUUACUUGCAUGCAUGUCAUCAGCCUCCACCUUCAAACACACUAGUGAACCUCCAGUAAUCAGGUCUUCGAAGACCUCAUCGGCUGUGGAUUCUCAUUUCAAUGGCCCUCUCCGAACAGGAUCUUUGGUCAAUGUGUCAGACUCAGCCGCCUUCGUAGCUGCUGGAGAGGCUGUGGAAGUACCUGGGGCACGAAACCUCUGACCAGGCUCCUUGCCACCAAUCUCAGGCUCAAUCUCAGCUUUCACAUCUUGCGCAUCCUCACCAAUAAAUCCCAUCUCUUCUUUCCACUUCGACCACACCCUCUUCAGCUUUUCCAUCAUUCGGGGCACUUCGGGAUUAGUUUUCUGAUCGGCGAAAUACAACAUUACAACUUGUUCUGAUCGGUUUCUGGAUUCCUCGAGAGCAGCCUGGAUCUCUGCACAAGUGUUCCUCAGAGCAACAAUUUCUCUUUUCCCUCCUAGUGAUCUCAUCCUGCUUUUGACCUCAGACGUUCAAGCUGGGACAUAAAUAUCACCGACAGCACCUCCACCUUCAAUCUUGACAGACAUCGAAAGACAAAUUACUUCUGUGUAUGGUACAGAGAUUUCAUCACUAGUUGGGGGCUCCAAUUGAUGGGUGUUCGAAUGAAGCCUUUAAAAUCUAACCAAAUUCUCCUUUUUCUUGACAAAGAUUGGAGCCGUCUCAGGUUGCAUACGAGGACAUUCCACCCUGAAUCGAUUCUUUCGGUGGUUGCAUGAAUGGCACGUCUAUCAAAGUGGUGGACGUGUUGAUGUGAAAGAGUUGCUCCUGCAGAAGUAGAACAGCAUGCAGUGAUGCCUCAUAUCGUGAUUGCCUUGGUGAAGAAUUUGUAGAAAUAUUUGUAAGAAACUCUAGACAACAUGCAACAAUAUGUCCUACUUUAAUUUUCAUUCAUCACAUUGUUGUCUCUGAUUAUGCUCUCCAUGUAACUGUAAUUGUUGCAUUAUAGUUUUGAUUAAUGAUUGUCUUAAUAGACAUGUAUUGUUCUAACAAUCCUAUUUUGUUUGAUGAAUUUAUGUUUGCUUCCGUGAGAAAAACCCACUUUCCAUUAACAUGAACGUUGUCCAACAUGUCCUUAAAAUGAGGCUCUCCAGCAACAACAGUGUCCGCUUCCAGCAUCGAUAGGCAGUACUACAAUUGCUUCAGCUUGUUGUUAUACAUAGGAUUAUUAACUGUAAGAAAGUGAUAAAAUUUUGUAAUAUCUCUGAUAAGAAUAGUUUUUAUAAGAUUUUAUUUAGACAAUUUUGUAACUACAUUUUAUUAUAUUUUUUCAUAAUUCUCAUGUUUAUGUUGAUGUAAAGUUAAUGAACUUUCAUUUGCAUAUUUUUAUUUGGUUAUCUAAAAUUAUAGCUUGGUUUGGUUUUAGCUACUAGCUUUGUAUGCAACAUAUUGAAACAUAGAAAGCAUACUCCACACAAGUAAGUUAGGACCAGCAAGGUUGCACUAUAACAAAUAGAGUGUGGUAUGAGAUAAUUCUUCCCAUGCCAACCCUUUCCUUAUAUACUAGUACCAAGGUACCAAGUGCUACAAUCCAUAUGGGAUAUCUCCUAGGACCAGCCCUCCCCUUGUACUCUAAUGUACUAUAGACCAGCACCCUACCUUAUGGGAUAUCCUUAACAACACUUGUACUCUAUUGACCAUUAGCAACUACUUAAAGAGUUCUAUUCUCAACACUCUCACUUUGCUAUUGGUCAAUUAGCUAUCAAUCCUAAUGCCUUACUCAACUUGUUGUGUCCUUCUCUAACUAAGGCUUUUGUCAACAAAUCAGCCAUCAUGUCUUUGGUUUCACAAUACAUCAUAUCAAUAACCUCCAUCUCUAUCUUCUCUCUUAUCAAAUGAUGCUGAAUAUCAAUGUACUUAGUUCUUGCAUGAUGCUUUGGAUUCUUUCCAAAAGCAAGACAUCCUUGAUUGUCACACCUCAAUGGAGUAGCUUCAAAUUGCACAAGUCCAAUAUCUUCCAAUAACAACGUCAACCAAAUUGCCUCCAUUGCUUCAUAACUUGCUGCCAAAUACUCCGCCCCUAUUGUGAACCUUGCAAUGUUUGGUUGUCUAUUGCUAUUCAAAGAUAUGGCUCCCACUCAAACAAAGAAUACAUAGCCCAUUGUUGACCUUCAAUCGUUUGCAUCUCUCUUAGAUCUAAGCACCCACUUACAUCCAAUUUGUUGUGGAAAGAUGUGGUUCUUUCACCAUUCACCUUGUGGUCUUCUCUCACGUGUUGGAUAUCUUCUUUCAUGCAAAGAAGAUGAGCCUUCUUGCACCUCUUGCUGCCUUGUAUGACUCAUGGAGUGCUUUCUCUUACUCAUUUGUUGGUAUUCUUCAUCUUCAUUCUCUUCAUUGUCCUUGUUGUAUCUUGCUGGAAUUGAAGUCUUCAUAGUAUUGGGCUCUUCUAUCAUGGCAUCUUCCUCUUCUUCUUCACUUUGAGAAUGCUCUUCUUCAUCUUCUUGUUUGUUUGCUAGAAUUGAAGAUGUGUCCACAAACACACCACUACUCCCACUUGGACACAUCUCCCACUUUUCACUACCACUCAUAGAUGGUGUCCUCAUGGAUCCACAAACAUCCGAAUGCACAAGCUCCAGCAAUUGGUUUGCUCUUGUUGUAACUCCUCUAGGAAAUGGUGUCCUAUGUUGUUUGCCUUGAAUGCAUCCCUCACAAGCAAGAUUCAUCGUAGAAUGGCCAAGGUCUAUGCCAUUUACCUUGGAUUGAAGCCCUUUCAUGCUUUUGGCAUUCAAAUGCCCAAGUCUUUGAUGCCAAAUGCCCAUCUUCUCUUCAUUUGAUGGAAAUUCAGCAAAGGCAGCAACCUCCACUCCAUUGAUCCUCUUGCAAUUGAUAAUAUAGAGAUUGCCAUUCCUAGUCCCUUUUGCUACUUCUUUGCCUUCCAUGGUUCUCACAAAACAUCCAUUCAUGUUAAAUUGCACUUUGUACCCAUGAGUUAUAAGUUUACUCACCGAAAGGAGGUUCUUCUUCAUCUUUGGCACAUGCAACACAUCCUUGAGAGUGAUUCUCUUGCUUAUGGCCUUCACCACCACCUCCACUACAAUGGUGCCUAUUCCAAUGGCUUGUACCAUACAAUUAUCACCUAACAAAACGUUGGUUGCUUGAAUUGAUUGAUAAGUGUUAAAUGAACACUUGUAUGGAGUCAUGUGUUUGGUACAUCCGGAAUCCACAAUCCAUUUGCUCAUAUCAAACAUGGAAGGAGUUUGUUUUGCCAUGAAUGCAAAGUCUUCACCUCCAUGAUCAUGAAAAGCAUUGUUGGCAUUCUCUCUUUCUCCUCUCUUAGCCUUGAAACAAUUUCUAGCAAAAUGGCCUGGUUUUCCACAAAUGUAACAAGUUUUAGGAGGAUAACAUUGAAAAGGGGCACUUGCCUUACUAGGUCUUGUAAAUAGUGCUGAUUGCUCCCCAAUAGACUCCUUUUGCUUUCUUUUGGUCACUUCAUGGGCUAGUCUUGCCGUGACAUAGUCCAAAGUGAGGUCUUUCUUUGAAAUGGACUCCAAUGCCACAAUGAGGGAGGAAUAGGAGUCCGGAAGGCUUGAGAGCAAUGUCAUCACAACAUCUUCUUCAAGUAAAGGCUUGUCAACAACAGCAAGUUGGUUUGCAAGUGCUUUUACCUUAUUCACAUGAGCCAUGAGAUCUUCACCUUCUUCUAUCUUCACGGUGAAGAACUUUUGCCUUGACCAUAGCACAUUGAAAAGAUUCCUACUCUCAUAGACAUUGCAAAGAGUCUUCCAUGCAUCUGCUGCUCCUUUGCAAGAAAUGACAUGAGCAAAGUUGGUUUCAUCUAAGUUGGUGGCAAUUAUGCCAAAAGCCUUCUUCUCUCGUCUUUUGAAGUCCUUUUGCUCCUUCAUGCUUGCCUCUAAUCCAGGUGCCUCUUCCUCCUCACAUACUAUCUCCCAAAGAUCCAAUGACGCCAAAAGUAGCUCCAUUUUGGCCUUCCAGUGGUGAAAGUUGUCACCUCUAAACUUUUCUACCAUUCUUAAGCUAUCACUCUCAAAAGAUGCCAUCUCAAGCUACAAGUAGGUCCAAAAAUCUCUUGAUUUGGAGUUGUAAUGCAAAAGAUAUGACUACUCAAAGAUUGCUGAACUACAAACUCAGAAUUCGCUGUUUUGCAACUUUUUGCAUACUUUGAGUCCAAAUCACGUCUAAAUGGUGGGAAAUGCUAUGACAUGUAAUUCUAUGGCUUUCAAACAUCUCCCUUACAUCACCUCACUCAAAAUGACUCAAUUUCUCAUAAAACUCUCAAAUACUAGUGUUACUUCAGCAAAGACACUAUCAAGGUCUUGCACUAACCUCAUACACUCACAAAUCCAGGAGUAAUGACUUCAACAAAACACUAGUAAUACUAUACCAUAAGAUCUCAACCACCAAACAAGCAACAAAGAAAAUAAAAUGCAAGAACAACUUACUUGGUAAGAGAAUGUGGGCCCAUAACCUAUUGAAACAUAGAAAGCAUACUCCACACAAGUAAGUUAGGACCAGCAAGGUUGCACUAUAACAAAUAGAGUGUGGUAUGAGAUAAUUCUUCCCAUGCCAACCCUUUCCUUAUAUACUAGUACCAAGGUACCAAGUGCUACAAUCCAUAUGGGAUAUCUCCUAGGACCAGCCCUCCCCUUGUACUCUAAUGUACUAUAGACCAGCACCCUACCUUAUGGGAUAUCCUUAACAACACUUGUACUCUAUUGACCAUUAGCAACUACUUAAAGAGUUCUAUUCUCAACACAACAUAGUUUGUAGAUCAUUAUAGGUUGUAACUUAUGCAAAAGAUAUAAAAUUUUUAAUUAAUCUUUUUAAUUUAUAAAGUAUAUAAUAAUUUCUUUCCUUAGUAAGCUUAGACUAUUGAUGUUGUUUAACAUUUUAAAUGCUAAACAGAAAUUUUAUUUAAUUUUAAAAAAAUAUGGCUAAAUUUCAAAAAUAAUUGAUGCAUUACAUCUCUUAUAUAUGUGACAUAUGUAUGUACUAAAUAAUCAUUUAGUAUUUCAAUUUUAUUAUUAUCUAACAAUAUUUUAUUAGAUGUUAAAUCUAUAAGGCUUUGAAGUACCUUAAGUGCAAGAUUUUAUUCAUAGUCAUAAUCAAGAAUAUUUUAUCUUAUAACAUAAUUUUAUUAAGAAGGAUUACUAUCUAAUUAUUUGCCAUAUGUUUUGAUCCAAUACUUUUGGGUAGAUAUUUUGUUGUUACAUUUACUUUGAUAAUGGCAAGGUUUUCACAAUAGACUUCUUCUAUCAUUGAUUUCAAACAAGGUUUGAAGUAUUCUUAUGUAAACAGAUUUAUCUUAGUGUCUUAAAAUUUCAAGUAAAUAUACAGAUUCUAAUUGCUUAAUAACAACCACAUUAUUUCACAAAUUUUCAGAAGUUUUAUGCUAAUUUUUAUAGAUAAAAAAGAAUAAGAAAUCUUCUUACAAAAGUCUCUUAAAAAAUUAUAGAUUUUUUCUUUUCUUUUUUUAUAAAUAAUAAAUAUAAUAAUUAUAUACAAUAAAAGAAAGAAAAUUUUAAACAUUUGUUCCAGUUAUAACUAAUUCUUGUUCAAUUGUCUUUACUCACUAAAAUAUGAUGUUACUUUUACACCUUAUCACAAUUUUUUUUUCUUUCAUUUUCUAUAUGAUAUGCUUAUAUAUAACUAGAUUAUAUAUUUGUGUAUUAUUUAACCAUGAGGUGUUAAAAGUCCAAGAUAUUAUUUUAAAAAUCUACUCGUUUCUUUGGUAUAAUAUAAUUUCUUAAAAAUAAAGUACAUAAAAAAAUAUUUUAUUAUCUAACUAUUAUUAUCAUGUCAGACUUCAAAUAAAAUAUGUAUUUUUUCACCAACAUACAACUGAUUAUAACUUUUAAACCCUCCUUAAACUUUUCCAAAACCUGUAGAUAUAAUUAUAAUUCUUUUUAUAAAAAACUAGAAACUAGAAAUUAUAAUUACAUAUAUUAUUAUCUACAAUUUAGGUAAAAAAUAUAUUAAAUAUAAGAAUAUAUAUAUAUAUAUAUAUAUAUAUGUGUGUGUGUUUUAUAUCCAUGGAUAAUUUAUAUGUAUAUAUUUGUAUUUAAAUUUAAUUUUUUUUCAGAAAAUUGAAAAGUGAUAGCAUAUUAUAAAUGAGGCUGUGUUUUUUUUUUAUAAAUUACAAUAAAAAAAGAAUCCAAGAAAGACAACGUUUUUGUUGAAUGCUUCCAGCUUUUAGUUGUGUGCAAUAAGACAUGUUUAAUAUCUGUUAACUUGAAGCAUAGUCAUCAACUUUUUGAAUAAUAUGUAUAAUAAUGUUAACAAGAUGUAAGACUAUUAAAAUUACAACUUGUAUUGCUAAUUCUAGAAUAAUGCUACGUGACCCACACACAGGAUUUGCGUUUGGCCACAACUCACAUCUAAACACACACAGAAUGAUGUUCAGAAAGCCCAUAUAAAUCACAACUUCUUCAAUGAUGGGUCUUCUUCGCAGCAGAACGUACUUCGGCGAUGCCAUCAGUCAUGCUUGCGUUGCGCGGUGAACCUCACAAUUGUCUGCAAAGCUUUCAUUUACUUGCCUGGAGGAUUACAACUCGGCAGGUGUGAAGUCCGUGAUAUUGUGGUAAUCAAAUCCAUCCCCGAGUGCAUGAUACUGACUGACUUCAGUGUCGCGAUGAGUUGUGGCUGUAAUUCAGGCCGCGAAGCGAAAUGACCUCGUGAGCUUCGGAAAAGUGUGUGUGCGCGCCGUAAGGCGCUGAAACAUUCGGAGGCGGAGUGACGGGUCGGAAUCGGAGGAAUACGGGUUGCUGUUGGACAGGUGAUAUUCAGAGACUCGUGCGCGUUUGUAAUUCUUGACGGCGGAGGAAUGUAUGGCGCCAGCAGUCCCGCGGAGGGUUUAGGGUUGGGAAAUCGUGAGUAUUGAGGAGUUGAGGAUUGCGUGAUCCUUUGGGAAGAUUGAAUCUGAAAGAGUGGUUAAAUUAGCGUUUACUUGACACAAGACAGAUGAGGAAUAUCGAAGCGAUUCGACAUGCUUGUUGACGUCUAUGCGUAAGCUGGCAACAAGAGGCUCAUCGGAGGCAACCUUGUGUUUUGUCUGUUCUGGGAGAAAAUUAGGGUUUUGGUCCCUCAGGUGAUGAGCGGGAGUUGGAAUUUGGAGCUUUGGGACAAGGAGUGGGCUUUUUGUAUCAGUGUCAAGUACUGGUGCUCAGGGAGUUUUCUUUUGCAGCAUACAUAUUCGGAGUUGAGCUUGUCUUACAAAUUCUCUGGGAUCUGUACGCCUGGGCUGCUUAAUUUCUCGUCUGCCUAUUCCUAGGGGAACGCUGUUACUUGCCUUCCUCAGCCGUCUUGUGCAUGAUCCUAUUCUCUUCUAGCUCUCUGCUCUCGUUUUCUUCUUUUGAAUAUAUUCGAUACAAGUUGGUGACAGCGGUUGGUGAAAGUUAGCGAACAUGGACAUCAUAGCUCAGUUGCAAGAACAUGCUAGUGCGAUUGCCUAUAUAGCAUUUAAUGCAGCAGGAACUAUUCAAAGGGAUGCCCCUCCGUCGCAGUUGGCCCAGGAUUACCCUAAGCCAACUGGGAUUACCACUGAAGCCCUCGAGCAGCCGAAGGAGAUGGCUACAGCUUUCGUGCAGGCUGUUCAGCGCUUCGAUGCCUUAGUUUCAGCUUUACCUGAUAUUCAAGGUGGCGAAGAAGCGCAGUUAAAGCGAAUCGCAGAACUGGAGGCUGAGAAUGAAGCAUUUGGCCAGGAACUGCAAAGAGAGCUGGAAGCGGCUGAUAGCGAGUUGAACCAGAUCCAAGAGCUAUUCGACAUGGCGACUGAUAACUGGUUGCAAAUGAAGCCACCGUAAUUAUAUACACUAGUAUCCAUGUAAAGGUCGGUCACUGAGGAACAGUUUUUGAGGUUUGUGCUUUCGGUUGUAGAGUUAUACUGGAUCCCUUGGAUUUUUUUGUUAAAGCAAUGUAGUUGCUCAAGAUGCUUGAGAUUCAGACUUAAUUGAACAAACUAUUAGGUUGGACAGUAAUUUCUUUAUCAUGUAGUGUCCUCUAAAGCCUUUGUUACUAUCAGGAGUUUGAAACGGUGUACUCGUUUGAGCGUCUUGCUUAGCAACUUAUGAGAUUGGAUUUUGGGAGGUACUGUUUGCGUGCAAGAACUCCUGCAACAGCCAAGAGUAGGAGGGCUAGGAGAUUUUUUCCCCUAGAAGUGUUCUCAAAGUGCGAAUUCUCUCUCCAAUCCCCAUUUCACGAUCGGUAUUCUGCUAGGAACCUUACUACAAAAUUAGUUGGAUGUAUGAGCGAAGUAUCGUUGAAAGUCACAAAGAGGUUUUGUCCUGGUGCAAAUCACAGGUAACUUUUCACAUCUCAUUCUUGGGUGCCUCAGUUGUCGUGUAUCAACUACAGUUUCCUGGUCCACUUCGCCUUCUCCUUCUUGCAAGAAGAUACGCUGCAGGUGGCAUGCCUCUGUGACGGUAAUUGAUAAGACCGGAAGGUAAUGGGUUCAAUGUACUUAUUUGGCUGGUACAAACUUGUGAUUCGACACCCGAGCAAAACCUACCCACUCAUCGAACAAAGGUUGAUCAUGGAGGUUGACUACAUUAUGUAUACAUGGUGGAACUAAUUACCUAGAGAGCAUUCGUUGUUGCUCAAGGUCCUUGAAGAAUAAACACAUAUUUUUCAUUUUAUUUUACAAUGUGCAUUUGUGGCUGGGUUUAAGGUUGGAGGUUCAGAGGGAGGGAUUAAAGUUUGGGACAUUAAGAGUUAAAGUGUAAGAUUAGGGUUUUAAAUCGAAGGGUUAGAGUUUAGGAGGCAAACAAUUGCUUUAGCAACUGGCCAGAUUGCCACCUGCCCCUUGCCCCAAAUGAACGUCGUUCGACAUUCUUCGGUGGAGGACAUCCUUUCUAGAGAAUCCCAAGAGAUGACUUGUCGUUUCACCAGAGAGAGUAUUCAGAUGCUACAGGACACCCUGUGUAAUUUCUUGUAUCACACCAGACAGUAUUUUCGUAAGUGGGAGAAUGCACGUGUGAGAAACAUCUCGUCGGAAAAUCCUCGCUUAACAAACAUGAUACACAGGUAAAAAAGAAAGAAAGAAAGAAAAAGUGGGAGUUAUGUUGAGUACUUCAGAAGCAAUGUCGCUUCAAUGGUUCUAGUGGUACAAAUCAUUGACCACACACAGUGAUGAUCUAACUAGCCGAGCUUCUCGUUUUGGAGAACGGCCAGAUCUUCUAAAUGAGGCUGAUACAGUAUACUUUCAAUAAUGCGACGAUAAGAACAAAUGCCGCCGGCAGUUCGGUGUAAUCUACACAGCCCUGUUUCAGGGCUCUACAAUAAAACAUGAAUUGACUACACUACCCUCGAAAUUAUAGGCUGUCCGUAAAUAAAGUAAAUUGAAUCAUUCUAUAUCAACCCUGAAUUGAAGUAAACCUUGUCACGUAUCUUUUUUGACCGCGGAGACAACCACACCCCAACAAAAAUACCUCAAGAAUCCACAGCACCUAUGUUUCCGUGUUGAACGCACCUUUGUGAGCAGCAUCAAAGAUUAUCUGUCUUUCUGCCUGCUUGUAGUACAAGGUUGAUGGAGCAACUUCAUCAGGAAUAAUGGGGGUCAAGGGAUCAAGGGAAUCAUCGUGCAAUAAGCAAUUCAACACUUAUCGGUCAGACGCCUCACGGCCGUUUUUGCCUUCAUCCCCUUCGUUGGAGAGAUUAUGCUGUGGCUUUCGUUGUUCCUGAAGCACCUCUGACUUAGGCAGGAAAUCCGACUGUUCCGUGGUUCCACUUCCUUGCCUCAAGAGUGGAGCCUGAAUCGGGGAACAAUGCCUUUUCACGUCUGUUCUUACUUCUGCUGAGGUGCUAUCUUCGUGUUGAUGGUGCCAUGAAUGACGAGCUUGCUCUUGCAAUCCCUGAAAUUCUGAAUGUGCUUGAUUGAAAGCUGCAACAGUCGUUCCUCCCGCUUGAUCUGAGCACCCGUGUAAAUACUCCUGGUUUCUAGAAGUUUCGCGUUUUCGCUUUUCUAAAACUAUGUGACUUGACCGGCUGGAGUUAGAAUCCAGUGCGGAUACUACACUUUCGGUGCUGGACCUUGCUUUAGGAUCCUCUCCAUCCGACUUUGCCGUGCUUUUGAAUGGUGAGGUUCCCUCGUGACCACUGGAGCUGCUGGUACUGGCAUGUAAGCGGGUCCGCACAGGAACUCCUUCAUAUUCCGGGGGUGGUUGCUCCUCGGAGCCCUUGUAUGGCAGGGAUUUGAACGCACUCAACUGUUGCUGAUUCCCAAAUCGAAAGGAAAUAAAUUCUCCUGAGGGUAGGGAUGACAAAGAAGAUGACAGCAAAAGAUUGCUACCAUUUUUCAUGGAUGUCCCAUUUCCUGGUGAGGAUGCAUUCCCAUCUAAUAACAUCGAGGGUAAAGCACCGGAAGUAAGGUUAGGAAUUGAUUGCAAAUGAGAACCUUUUAAAGCAAAGGGACCUGCCAGCUCUAAAUCAACUCCAAAAAGCCUUGUUCCACUGCUAGUGCUCGGCGCUUCUUCACUCUGUGAUGAUGUGCUGCUGCUGGAGGCGACAAGAGACCUGUCAUGGAUAUUGGGACCUCCAUCAACAUCUUUUAAUUGCCGUUGUGGUCUUUCAAUGCCUGCAAUGAAAUCUUCCGUAGCCGCGUAAGACUUUAAAGGCAAAGACUGUAGCCCAGGAUUGAAAUUGCUGGCUGCCAUGUCUGGUAAUCCAGAGUCUUGAGUGCGUCCCGGAUUACCAGAUCCCACAGACACUCCUACGGCUGACUCCAUCAUUUGGCUGUAGAUGCCGCCAUACAACAGUGUUUUCUCCAUGCUUUGCUGGAGAUUGGAGGAAAUCCCUGGUACUUGGGGAGCAGAAAAGUUGAAGGGCUGCCACAUCGAAGGGUUGAAGGGGCUGCUAGGACCCUUUGAUGGUGCAUAAGAAUUGUUGCAGGAUGCAGUCCACGCACUUCGAAACGUGGGUCUAUCGGACGCGGAAGUUCCUCCUGGAAUCACCUGUUUUCGACGAAAAUCAAUAUAGAGUUCUUGGCUUGGACCUCGCUCGAAGGACACAAUAUCACCUGCAUCAAGCUUCUUCUCCUUCACGAAUCUACUCCAGCCCUUGGUAAGCACGUAACUUUGACUGCUAUUCCAGUAUGAGUAUCGGAAUCGCCAAUGUUUCCCUGAAACAUCUUCAAAGGAAAGAGUCUGCCCAGGCGAAUUGGCGGACAAAUCAAGAGGGAAGCACCGUUCGGCAUGCUGCUUGGGGAUGACGAGCCUGUUCAGCUUACCGACGUCGCUGGGUGUCACUGCCUUAUCAAACAAAUGCUCUCGUGUUGGUGCGCACUCUUUUAAAGUGUUUCUAGGCAAGCUGGUUGGAGGUAGACACAUUGAAGUAUCACCAGCAGAUGCGUUCGGACCGAGGCUAAAAGAUCCAACAGAUAGUCCGGUCUCUGGAGCUGAUGUUCUACACAUUUCAAGAGCUCGACGUCGUGCUCUGACUGCGUUUGCAGCAACAUCCAUAUUAAAGACCUUCUUGCACUGAUCGAGCUCUUCAUCAUAAGUAUGACGCCGUAACAUUUCUACAAUCUGUUCUUUGCUGUGGGAGCGCAAGAACUCGGAUUCGUAAUCCGAGUCUGUUACCGGUCGAAAGUUGGUCAUUGCAUCACGACCACGAAACUUGAUGGCAGCCCUAUCAUACGCACGUGCAGCUUCUUCCUCCGUGUUGAAGGUUCCCAACCAGAUGCGUUGGUGUUUCUCAUAUAUCUGAGCCCCCCAUCGUCCAUUUGAUUGGGGUACGACACCGCGGAAUUGCGAAGAGGGCAACUUGCUGUUACUUUGCUCCCGGACACGAUCGUCACCAUAAUCCGAGUCGCUAGAACCUGAAAGGCUCGGACCGCUAUGUGUUGGUUCUAAACUACCCAUUUGUCCUACAUCCCAAGUACCCGAACCUGAAAAGCCAUUGGGGCCCAUGUGUGUUCGUUCCAGACCUCCUGAUCCACUCCUUCGUCCGACAUCCCAAGAUCCUGACGGCCAUUGCUUCAAGUCUGCUCCACGAGUAUACUCUGCCUCCAGUCUAGAACCUGUUGCAUUGGCACAAUCUGAAAUUCAGUUCAAAGAAUUUGUUGAAGCGUGCGUAGAAUUAGUCAAGGACGACGCCCGACAAGUGAUCUGAUUCUGAAUCUUCUAUUACAAUCACAAGCUGGAUACCAUACACCAUGAUCCAAUUUCCUCUCGCAAUUGAAUAAUAGGAUCUCUUGAUGGGCUAAAACCGAUGGCCAUCUUACCUAAGAGAUUCAAGGGAUGACUCCUCUCUUCAAAAUCGCUUAGGUUGGAAGUGGGGUAAGCACGGUGCUCCUCAACAGCAACCCUCAAAAAACUCUCAUUUUCCUUGCCUGAUGAAUUAUGCAUUGAGUCAUGUGAUCGACUCAUAUCGUGAUCGCCGUAGCGAAGAAAUCUCGGAGCCCCAUUAACCCGGAAUGCAGUGGCAGCUGCUGUUUCUGCAAUAUCUAGCGUAGCUGUCUUCUCCUCGACGAAACGAAACCCUGGAACAGGAGAGGCAGGAGAGAUAUUUCUCACAACCGCAACAGGAGAAGCAUCCUUUCCCACUUCGCUUGGACCUUCAAUAAUUUUAGAGCUCGAGACAUCACUAUCUGAUGAAGAGGCUGCCGAAUCGAAGUUGUUCAGUCGCAAAGUAACAUCGGGCCCAUGAUGUGGUUCGCUGGACAAGCGAGACGCGGGUUUGGACCACAUACCGACCGCCUUCUCAUCCUGGAAGCAGCUGUAGGCAUUAAAUGCGAUAUUCCUAUGGCACAUUGUGGACAUGUGAUGACUUUACACCUAUACUGUAACGUAAGUUCCUCCCAUAGCACUGUACUGGAGAUGCUGCAGUAUAAUAAACCACACCUACUGCAGAAGUGAUAAUCAUUUUCAAACGCAGCAUACAAUUCCUACUCAAGAAAUAAAUCUGCUAAAUAUGACACCCCGACUUACCCCCCCUCUAAUUCAUGAAUCAUAUGAUAAUUCAUUGAUCUAUCGUGAUGACUAUGCAGUUCAAACAGUUAAUCUGCUUUCUAGAAUGCAUUUCAUGUUGUAAAAAGCAACAUAUUUGAGAUCAUAGACUAACCUUGGCAUUCAGACACAUCCCUUUGCACUUGUUUAAAACCAAGGUUACUGGACAUGGUGGUCUUUGACUGCGAUGACGUUCUCCUCGACAACCCCCCUACCUUGAAGCAGAAGAUUGAACAAUCGCAAGUUGAUCAUUAAGUAGUCCAGAUCCAACUGCUCUGCACUUUACAAUGACCGGAAAUAUUAGAAUCGUGUAGACCUAUUACAGAAGACAGGAAGUGUAUAAUUGAGAUAAACUACAUGCAUUGUAUCUUAGUGCAUACUAACGCUUCCAUAUUUCUAGUGGAUUAUGGCGACCUGCCGCAAUCUUAGAUGAUAGAAUUUCAGAACUUCCUGAUGUGUAAGGAUGAGUAUUUAUAGUUUAUAUCUACCUUUCAAUUCAUGGCACUUAGGUUUUAAACAUCGAAAGUGAACAGGAAUUUCAGUAUGUCAACGCCUAGACACCUCCCCCUCAUUUUUUUCUAUUUUGGCUGAAGAAAUCGAUAAGCAGCACUGAGGGACUAGCAGAGGUUCUACAGGAGAUAUUGAUUCCUGAAUCCAUGGAUCAUUCAGUUAUCUUACAAUACACCUUUCCUUUUAGUAUCAUGAAUGCAGCUCUGUCCCAAAAUCACUUCCACAACAUAUAUUGUGGGCCGUGUAAGACUUAAACCAGCUCAUCCGAAGGCAGCCGUAAAACUUUACUAACAGUUCAAGGACUUGGAACACAUGUUCUUUGAAGAGAGCAGCAUUUGGAGGCUCUUAGAUCUACGUGUUCGCACUAUAGUUGACACCCGCAAAACCAAAUUAGUAAGCAGGAAAGCAAGUCCAAGCAGUAAUAGCUGAUGUUUCCAGCUUGUGUCAUGAAGUCGGAUGAUGUUACCAGUUGAUAAUUCGUCAACUCCCCUUCUCUACCCUAGGGGAAAAGGCUGUCGAGCCGCGGCAGCUUCUAAUCGCAAUCAGAAUCAUGUUCUCACAGCCCUUAACUAAAAUGAGCGAGCAAUGCUAACCGUACUAUGUUAUCAAUCACAUCGCGAUUCGAAAUGAAAUAGCUGCACAAGAACUACUACAACCAAGCUAACUGGCCGCUAAUUUCGAACGGUGGCGCCAUGCAGCUACUUGCUUUGCUUCCUAGUAUCUCUUAGAAGCUGCGAAUUGAGUUGCAGCGGUCAGUCUCGAAGUGAACACGAGUCUAGCAAGAGAGAGGCGUGAGAGGACAAUCUCUUGUAAUAUCCUAAGCCACUACAAAGAGAAUGUUACCUUAUUCUACAGCUAGUUGGACUGAAAUUACUUUGGACGGAGUAUUCACCCAGCAAGAUUAAUUUCCCAAGAGCAGGAAUGUUAUGAGGCUUGAAAAGAGCUGAUUUCACCUCAAUGCUGGAUCUUAGAGAUGUCUAAGUGGAACACCGCUCCGAGCACAACUAAACAGAAUACAAGCUUUCGCCGUAAGCGUAAGCAAGCUUCUUCUCUUAGAACUAACCCUGUGGACCACGGCGUAGGAGCUACGUGACGAAAAAGCGUUGACCACCAAAAAUGGUAGACUAUGAACAAUCACAAAUUCAAUCGCCAAAACUUCACAGCCACUGCAACACUGGCGACAAUUUAAGGAAAUCCGAUCCCCAGAGCACAGAAACCAUGUGCCAUUCUAUCCGCGAAAUCGACUUUACCUGUGGUCGCUUCACCUGCCGCUCAUGGCACUCGACCAUAGCAACGUUGCAAUCCUGAGGUCACCUACCACCUCUCCACCUAGAAGGUGCACAUCCACGACCUGAGAUUUCCCCCCCCUAGCACAACCGCGUCACAAGAUCGUCCGAUCCCCUCCGCAUGUCCACCGCUACAAUGCACUUCACCACACGCCACACAACCUCAACAACCUCCGAUUCCAGCCGUUGUACAGAAAGCUCUUCAUCCACAGAAGUGCAAGUUCGAGCUCAAAAACCAACUGCGGAGGCUGAGCCGCUUCCGACAACUGAUUUGCAGAGGACAAACAAUGCAUCAAUCCCUUGGCAUCCAGCAAAGAGAGAAAGCAGUACGAUGCAGAGAGCACGUGUAUGGUGACUGGUGAAGGGGGCGAGUAAGUCACCAGAAUGACAUUAGUCAGUGUAAUGAAGGCCAGGUAGCGGGAGCCAGAAGAGAAAGGGCUAUAGAAAAUGGGACACACACCAAUUACUUACAAUACAAAAACCGCCAAAAUAGAAUAAAAAAAUUAAAGAAAUCGUCAUCGGGCGAACGCUGGUUUCCGAUGGAUGGUGACCAGCGGCUGCGAUGCUCUACCGACAGGGCCCUCCCCACGCGCUUCAAUCUGUCAGUGCAGCAGCAGAGGGUGGGCGAGAACCACGCUGUAAAGAAAAUAAUUUAUGCGAUGUCAGGGAAAUCAGGGGGUGAGUGAGGUGGGGGGGGGGAGCUCCCUUUGCUGGACUAAGCCUUCGUCUCUGACACCGUGGUCCCUGACGGGAGAAUGACGGAAGACACUCACUCCCCUGCACCAGGGGUUCGGAUUGUGCGUUGGUCUCUAACAAAAACUGGUAAUCUACGCACACCCUCCACUAGCUAAACAUAGCUACCUCCACAUAGGAAAUUGGAAAGAGGGUUUAGGUUGCGCAAGGUGCGUGUGUUCGUGCAAAGGGUGUGUGUGUCUGCUGCACCCUUCCUGCCCACAUGUUCUCUCACUCGCUCACCCUGAAUCUCUUCCUUCCCCUUCGAUCGAUCCUUGCCCAUCUCCUUCCAUCCCCUUCCCCUUCUCUCGCUUCCCGCUGCUGUCUCGUCCUGGCUCUGUCCUUCCUUGGUGGCGAUUAAUUAGUGGCCUGCAGGGUCAAAGUGGGGGGGGGUCGCAGACUGGCGGGUAUACCGGUGCUCAUUAAUUGAAUAUAUUCAUUGGAAAGGUCCGUAGAAUGAUACAAUAUCGCAGGGUGCUGCUCAAUUUAGGAUGGUCAUGCAGCCAGCAGCAGCAGCAGCAGCAGCAGGCUCCCUCCAUUUAAAGUCAAUAGGCGCUGGACAUGCGGAGUGUUUCUAUCUCUGUCUAUGAUCCGGCACAAGGUUCCUCCUCCUCAAUCAAUCAAUCAAUCAUCAUCAUCAUCAUAAUACCAGUAACAAUAGCAGCAAUGUUUUCGGUAGUGUGCGAGGGAGAGAGAGAGCCAUUGUUUCGGAAGGCGCCUCUUCUUCUCUUCUCCGCGCUGAAGUUUCAUUCCACUGGGGUCGAUCUCCUCGGCUCUGCAUCUUCUUCCCUUCCCCUCUUCCGUCCAACGUCCGUCCGACGUCCGUCGCUCCACAUCUUCGUCGUCGUGCAAAUCCCAUGCCAAUGGCGCACAAGUGUCUCUCACUUUUAUAUAAGGGUUUCUCUUUGUUGAACUACAAAUUCAAUUAUAUAUAUAUAUAUAUAUAUAUAUAUAUAUAUAUAAAAAUAGAGAGAGAGAGAGAGAGAGAGAGAUAUAGAUAUGUAAAUGUAUAGAGAGAGAGAUAUAUAGAUAUGUAAAUGUAUAGAGAGAGAGAUAUAUACAGUCCCAAGUUUUUAUUAAAUCAACUUACCCAUGAUGAAGAAUAUGGUAAUUGGGAUGAAUGUGGUUGAUUUUCAUUGGUUUUGGAUCUAGCAAUGGAGAAAUGAAUCUAGAGUUUCUUUUUUGUCUUUUUUUCAUUUCAUUUCAUGAUGGUUAGGAUGGGUGGGUCAAUUUAAUAAAAACCUAUAUCUAUUUAACAUUCCCCUAUGUGUAUAUACAUAUAUAUAUAUAUAUAUAUAUAUAUGGACGAUCGUAUCCAAAUUAAGAAUCAAAUUCUUGAAAACUUGGAUUUAUGGUAAAUAUUUACAAAUUUGCCAAAGGAAGCUGUGAAACUUGUUGGUUUAUUGGUUUAUGAGCAUAUGCUCACACAAAAAUAUUAGAGCAUAAUUGAUGAGUACUAUUACAAAGGUAAUAUGAUUUUUUUUCCCAGAUGACCAAAACUAUUUAAAGUAUUGUUCACAAGAUAAAAUGUUUUCAACAUGUUCAUCAAAAACAUAAUUGUUUUUAUACAUCAAAACUUAAAUGUGUACUUGUUGUGGAUUGUACCCACAAAAAAUAUAUAAAGUGAAGUCCAUGUAUGAUGCUUCAUAGGGCUUUUUAGCCAUUUUGUUCCUCUAAAUGAAGAGGACCAUUCAUUGUUUAUUUUAAUUACACAUGCUAAUUUGUGCAUUCCAUUUUUAUGUCCUAUAAAAUUCAUAAAUUGGUUAUGUUUAUUGCAUGCAUGCAUACAUACAUACUAUUAUGAUUGAUUUGAUUAAUUUAUUUUGAUUAAUGAACAUGGACAUAAUGAACUUGAUUACAAUGUCAACCAUGGACUUUUUCUAAUAAGAAAAAUUCAAAUGUUUGUGAUGGAGAAAAGAAAACGCAAGAAAAGAAAAGUCCAUGUUUAUAAAUGUCAUGACAAAAGAAGAAGAAGAAGAAGAAGAAGAAGUUUAUAUAUAUAUAUAUAUAUAUAUGCACACGUAUUCAUAAGUUUUCACAAGUUAUAUACAUACUUAAAAAUAAAAAAUGAAUAAUCAAAGACCAUUUUCAGAACACUUAAAAUAAAGUCUUAAAAACCCUACUGUUUAACAAUUAAGUCAACUUAAACUUAAAAAAUAAAAGAAAGAUGCUGGACACGAAAAUUAAUCAGUAGUUCUAUUUUAAACAUUGAACAAGGAAAGCAUUGAAUGUAGCAGAUUCCUGAGAAAUUAAAAUAAUAAAAGAGAGCUUUAAGUAGUAAGCGGCCCAUCUGUGCAGCACACUACAUAGUAUGCUCAAGUCAACUAAUAUAAUUUUACUUGCCACCAUGAACUAACGUGGACCAGAUUUUAAGUUAAAAUCAAGUGGCGCAUGGUUUUCCAUCUACUUUAUUCUAUAAAUGUCCUAUUUUUAUAAAACCAUUUUUCGAUGAAAAAUGCUGUUAACGUUUCUUAUUCGUUGAAUAUAAAAUUCCACUCAGGAGAUGGAAAAACUUGGUCCUGAAAAAGAGGGCAGUAUUUUGGCAACCCACACAAUAAUAACAACAAUAAUGUAAACAAAUCACAAAAAAUAUCAUAAAAAUGUAUAAUUGUGCGUGUGUGUGUGUGUGCGUGUGCUGGUAUACAGUAUCACGUAUCGCAUGGCCGUGAAAGGCCGAAGGCGGAGAUGGUGAUGAAUGAGCGAUGACGGUGUCGCAGUGUAUUUUAUUGUUUUUUUAUAGUUUUUUUCUUCUGGUUGAGCGUGCGGUAACGGGUCAGCGGAUCCCGCAGCGAUGGCGUGGACGGGGGAAGAGGAGGAGGAGGAGGAGGACGAAUCGUUGCGAGGAUUGUUCAGUUAAUCCCUUCGGAAUCCCAGCCCCGUAUCUCCCCUUACAGUCCAAAUCAGAAGCUUAAGAAAGAAAGCGUAAGUGGGUAGUCGCUCAAGCGAAAGAAUCCGAGCUCAGGAUUUGAGUUGAUGUUGAUUCAUGUUAAGCUUGUGUGGAUGCAAGUUGCACGAUCCAGGGAGAGGGAGAAACGGGAGAAAGUGAGAGCGAGAGGAAGUUGACUACCAGCAAUUCAUCUUGUUUAUUUCAUUUCCGGAAUACCGUGGCGAUGUUCACGCAUUUCCUCACGUUGUUGGAUGCGAGCCUACACCGAUUGGCAAAUUGUCAGAGAGGCGAUAUAGUAGCCCUGGAGUAAAGGGUUCCAUCAGGAAUGAUCAGUGAGAGUCGAAGUGGCUGUAUCCCAAUUGAUGAAAGUGUGCCAGAACAAUGCUGCAUCCCUGGUCGAAGCGAGACACAGCAUGUGAGUGACAGCCCCUCGGGGAAGAUGUUAAUAGCCUGAAUCGCACGUCGGUUCGUCCGAAACUGGGACGGCUCCGGAACUGGAGAGCCAGCAGCCAAGUGAACUAAAUAAAAAUUAAUCGGUACCCGAGACGGUAAAUGUGACAAUAUGCAUAUAUUAGGAAUCGGAAUAAUGGUGUUGAAAGGCGCGUUGGGGUAAAAUAGAAGAAGUACUGUUACCCUCGUCGUCGCAUGGACACGAUCUAGAUUGGGGAAGGACUCUUUGGACCAAUUGAUCUCAUCUACGGAGUCGCCUCAUCAAGGACAUGUAUUUUCAUCGUUUAGGUUAGACUGAAUGUGUCAACUCUCUUCAGAAGGGUAUCCCCCUGCAUGAAUCAGCGACGUGUCUAUAAAUGACAGAAUGGGUUGACCAUUGACCCUAAAAUUGGAAUUUUAAAAGCGUUUGCAUGCUUUGAGCUGGUAGGGUCACAAGCAUUUACUUCUGAAACAGCAGACUUUAUAGCACGCAAGGGUGCUGUCAUACUCUUGCAUGCAUCCAAGUUUCCCCAGAUUACCAUUUCAUUUUAUUUUUCAUAAUUUUGUUGGUAUGCGCGAUUUGAUCGGCACUGUAGUAAGCGAGAACAAAAAUGUGGCACUCACUCACACAUUUUAUUCCAUAAGUUCGUAUCAAUCAUUUUGAUGAAAAUAUCCGAACUGCAAAAUACGUGUACGUAUAACUUACUGAUUGGGUUGCAUUGGAUGUUGAAUGUAUUGAUUGAUGCCUUGGAUUGUUCACUAGAUAUAGUGGAGGUCUAGACCACUACGUCCAAUCCUGUCGCUGUUGCUUUGGAUCCCCGUUGCUUUCGACUCCGGCUUUCACCGUGCAAGGGAAACGGGGAGGGAAUCCUUAGAUUUGCAUAUUAAUGUGGAAAGGUGUAUUUUUAUUUUUAUUUCUUUUCAAAAUUUUCAAUUGGUCAUGGAAUUAGUGAGUAAUUCCAAGGGAGAGAGAGAGAGAGAGAGAGAGAGAGAGAGUGUGUGUGUGUGUGUGUGAAGGAUGGACUCGCGCAGAAUGCUUAAACUUUUUCGAUGUAUCCACUGCAGAGAUUCAUCCUCUUUUUUUUUUUUUUUUUUUUUUUUUGUUUGUUUUUUUUGUUCAUGCUGUUUUAUUCCAGUGAAUUUGUUCAGUUUGUGUUUCGUGUUCAUGAGCCGAUUGCUCUCUGUCUGAUUAAGAACGUUUCUCCUAAGCUUGUCGGGAAGCAGGCCAUAACUUCUGCCGUUCUGUAUGAUUGGGGAUUUCACCAGCAACGACGCGCGAAUUGGAUAUGGCAGAGCGGGAAGGUGGAGUGGAGGGGAAACAUGCCGCAAGGAUUACAAGGGCAUGAAGUACAAUGCCUUCAGGAAGGCCAUGAUUUCUUCCCUACGUUGAGAGGAGGUGUGCUCUCUUCUCUACCAUCCGUGCAGUACAGCUCGGCCAACGCACGGCACCCUACUGGGGACUCCAUGAUUGGAGUGAGACAGGCUAGUGCACAUGCCUCCCCUGCCCCAUACCCACCGCCCCUCGUCGUCCUCAUCUUCCUUACCCAGCUCAAAUUUACAGACAGACAUACAGACGCACUCAGUCCAGAUAUGAAGAGAAAGAGAGAUAAUGAGAGGAAAAAAAAGACAUCAAAAGAAAACACUCAUUCGAUUUAAAUAUACACCGAGGCGACUCCUCACUCAAGGAAUUUACUGCAGGAAUUGGUGACAAUGCCCCCCAACUCGACCACCAGCCGGAUUGAGCAGAGCUGCUGCUGCUGCUGCUGCUGCUGCUGGUUGCCUGACUGCAGCACCUUGCAAGCUUACUUGAGUGUGGAACAUUCAAUCAUUUUCAUGACAAAUGGCUCUGCAACAUGGGCAUUUGUCAGUUUUUAUCACCUCCAUCAGUCCGCUCAAGCAAGUCCAAUCAUAGAGUCUCCAGUUGGGACUCCAUGAUUGGAGUAGGCAGAGACGCACAUGGCUAGUAGGGCUUCCCCGAUUAUUUCAGCACUGCAACCGUUUAACCUCUCAACAUUUAUAUACAUACCAGUGUGUACAUUCCGGAUAGUGUGUAUAGCUGGAGGGUCCCGAAUUGCCAAUUGGUGCAUACCUGCCUCUCUCUCCUGGACGGUAAAUACUCAUCCCUCACUUUUGGCUGACAAUCAAAAGUGGCCUUGGUGGGCACUUGAGCGCUACCAGAGCGGGUCUGCUCAGCUGCACCGAUCACUCAAGGCUGGCUACUGGGAUAUUUAUUUGUCCAGUGAAAAGCAGAGCAUGGAAACUCCGUCGGAACCGAUCCUGUUUGAAAAAUAGGUUCCUGCAGCAGCACACUGUGGGGCCGAGGAGACGUGACCUUUUGCUAACCAAGAUUACGAAUCGUAGGCUUUUAUGUGUGGAAGUGUUGCAAAUAAUCGGGGCAUGUGGGCAAGGGGAGCAGGUGUUUUUUGGGGCCGUCCAAAUUCCUCAACUCCACUGACCGUAGGUGGUGACGGGGGUGGUCUCUGAGUCGGCAACUGCACGACCUGCGAGGUCCGGCCCCCUUCCAGAAGCUCUGUCUCUAUCUGUAUGCUCUGUGGGAGUUAUGUGCUAACGAUCAGAAUUUGCUUUGGCAAGCAAAACCAGCUGUCAGAGGUCGAAUAAGGCACGGGCAAGCUUAUUCGUCAGCGCCGUUAGGUGCAAGGAAAAUGGAAUAAUCGUUUGCUUGGAACUCGAUCCUUCAGGAAAGUAAUGGACGUUAUCUUGUGUGGUACUGAUCUGUACUCAAUGAGUUCCUCUGGUGAAGUACAUUAUUGAGCGAGAAAAGACAACAUCCUCGCCAGCGAUGGUCUUGUGACGAGAAUCGAGCCUCCUGUUGUACAAACCCCUCUGCACCAGUCGCGACACUCUGCCAUGACUUCGUCAAGGAAACUCAGCCCAUAUGGGCAUCAUACUCGGCAGCGAAUUCACAGACAGAAUGCGUUGGGCACUGGGUCUAGCUUGCAAAACAAUUGUCUUGUACAUAACAUCAUCGCCAAAGCCUGCUCGGGGCCAUCGCCAGGACUUGGAUCCAACCCACCCACCGAACUACUACUGCUACUACUACUACUACCUCUCUCUCUCGGUCAUGAUCGACACACCUGGACAGACAGACUUCAUAUCCCCGUCCUGACCUGAACUUACAGAGGUAGGCACAGUGAGGUCAUCUCUCCUUUGUUUGUUUAUUUUAUUUAUUUACUUUUCUCCAACACACACUUACACACACACACACUCUCGCACGGAUCCCUCCUCCUCCGCUGGCUGUGGGCUUUUUGCCAGCACAAUGGAGGAGCCCAAUUCGGUGACUGGGUACUUGAACCUUCUUCUCCCUGUUGUUGUUCAGGUCAAUCAAAAUUCUCCUUACAGUACUUCUUCCCAACCUGCUCCAGAUCAUGCAGCUCUGUCCAUGCCCCUUUACCAGCAAUGAAAGGCAUUCGAGCUCAGACUCGGUCAGGUAUUGCCAACAAUGAUCGCAAGCUCUACCCAGUACCACAGAAACAAAGAGAAACAAAGAGAGAAGAAGAGAAUAAGAGAAACACUGAUUAAUA